RNAcentral lists this long non-coding RNA (74958 nucleotides) under Capsicum annuum. RNAcentral's name for it is "long non-coding RNA (CANN_LNC007937)". The record is from RNAcentral. Lineage: Eukaryota; Viridiplantae; Streptophyta; Magnoliopsida; Solanales; Solanaceae.
GCGAAACCAAUCUGUUGAGAGGAAGCUGAGGCAGAUAUGCGAUCCAAGUACCCAAACCUAUUUUUUGCGAACUCCGAUCAUGACGAAGGUACCGUUCUUUCCUAAAUCAUGCACUUUUGAUAAAAGUUACAGCAGUUCAACUGUCAUUUAUUAUUUGUUCAGCUGUAGUUUCUUGAAUUUAUACAUUCUAUGUUGCAUUCGGAGUGAGAAACGAUAUGGUGUUGAGUAUAACGAAUGGUUUCAGUUGUAUGCUCUAUUCCCUAUCUAAUCUUGGCAUGUCUAGCGUCAUUCGAGGAUGAAUAUUUCCAAGAGGGGGAUGAUGUAAUACCCCGGGAAAUUUUUUGUUGAAAUUUUAUGCGUAAACGUGUUGGGUUCUAUCUUCUAGAAUAAAUUAUAAAUUUUUUGUGCAGAAUGUCUUAGAUUAUGACCCACCAUUUCGUAGAGUAUCGAAUAAGCUUUCCAACGAUAUGUGGAUCAUCUAAAAAGGACACCCGAGCGACGAGUUAUGAACAUUCUGAUCGAAUCGUGAAUAGUAGUGAACAGUAAAACGUGCUGGAAAAAGUACUGAGGCCUGGCGUAUUUUUGGAACAACUUUAAACGAUCAUAACUCCUUGUACAUAUUGAUCUGGAUAAUCUAAAAUAUAUCAACGUAAAGCUCUGCGAGUCCUCUUUCCAAUGCAAUUGGUUUCACCCAAUUUGUCUAUCGGAGCAAAAAGUUAUGGUCGAUCUACUUCAUCCUACAAAAGCAAAUUUUUAGGUCAACUUCAAAUGAUCAUAACUCCUCGUACACAAUGAUUUGGGUAAGAUACUAUAUAUCAAUGGAAAGAUAUAAGGGUCCUCUUUCUAAUAAAAUUGGUUUCAUCCAAUUUGGAUAUCAGAAUAAAACGUUAUGGUUUAUCUACUUCAGACUAUCAAAAUAGUCCACCAAAGGACAGAUUCAAGAAUUAUUUGAUUUUUAGGAGCGUUUUGGUCAUUUCUCCUCACCCAAAAUCCAUGAAAACCCUAUAUUAAAGCCUAUUAGAAGCAUUAUAUGUUAUAUUUCAUCAAAUUCCCUCAAAAAGGAAACCCUAAGCUCCUACAUCCAACUUCAAGAACCUCCAAAGUUCACCAUUAAUUCUGCAAAUUUAUUCAAGAUUAACCCAUAUCUUAUGAUGAUUAUUAUGAGAUCUUGAUUUUUAUGAUUUUGAAAGAUGAAUUUACAUGUGUGGAGAUAUAAAGCAUGAAUCUUGAACGAUAUUUAUCAUGAUUUUGAUAUUUGGGUCGUGAAUCCCCAUUGAAAAUUAUGUUUUUUUGAGAAAGUGUGUGUUAUAAGAACAUUGAUGUUGAAUAUUUGAGAUAUUUUGAAUGAUUUGACCUUUUAGUCUUAACGGAGUUGUUUUGAACUCGAGUGUGAAAGAAAUCCACAAUGUGGUUGAUUUUGAUAGAUGGGAAGCAUAAUGGCUCCCAAUGUAUAUUUAUAUAUUACUGAAAUUAUUAUUUUUUAGAUUGUCUUCAAAAUGAUCUGAGCUAAGUUUGGGAGAAAUCUUUAGCACUGAGCGGGAGGUACAAAGCGACCUUACAUCCCUAGAACUACGUGCUCCCACAGGAGUGAGUCUGAGGCUGAUUUAUAUAGUGAUCACUAGUUUGUGUGGAUUUGAUAUCGAUAUCCUACUCCAAUGGAAAGGAUAGGACGGCUCUUCCCAAUGUGGGUUGUACGUUCAACUCUAUGUAGCUCACAUGGUUUAUGUCGGUUAUAGGAUCUCUUAGUGUGUGUGUGUUUCCUUGUGUCUAUGGUGAAUGGUGAAGUGAUUUGAAAGUGGAAUUGUGAAAGUUAUUCUUUUGAAAGAUUUAAAUGAUAUUUACAUUAUGAGAAUUGAUAUUCUUGAUGAACUGAAAGUGAUUGACAAAUAAUAUGAUGACUCACAUAUGUUAUUGUACUUAUCUCAUCCUCUCGUGAUUAUGAUGAUUUUCUUUGGGCUAUGUAAGUUUUUCAUAUAUCCUGCAUAUUUCUUAUAAAUAUUUAUGAUGAUGAUGUUUAUACAACUGCAUAUACCUCCAUAUACUUGGUUUCUUUCCAUGGUACUGACCCACAUCUUCGGAUGUGGGCUGCAUUUUCUCAGAAUGUAGGUUCAAGUGCUCAGUUCCAAGUUCGACAGUGAUUCUUUGGGACAUUGGUCUACAUCCUCUAUUGUGGUGAGUCCUCAUGUUCUGAGGACGUGAUGUCUGAUGUUGGUUUCACAGAAUCGUUUACAUUUGAUAACUGAGUAUGAGUCAGUUGGGGCAUAUCUCAAUAGCUCACUGGUUUUAUCAAUUUUCUUAGAGUCUUGUCAGACUAGUAUAGAUGUUGGGAGUUGACUAAUAAGUUGUAUUUUGUUAUCUUUCGAAAAUUCUUUUAUUCUUGGAUAUGAUUACUCUGUUAAUAUUUGAGGGUUAUUUAUGGAAACCCUGUUGAUCUGUGUUGAACUGAAUGAAAAUGGAUCAAAGGGUUAGCUUGGGGCUACUCGUAGCAUCAAGCACCGUGUGACGCUCCGGGACCCAUUUUCCGGUGCGUUACACUAAUUUUAUGCACUAUUUUAGUUUACUUUUCUUUACAAAUCAAAACUCUUUUGGUUACCAUUAUAGUCUUAAUAGUUGAACUGCAAUUUGAUAGUUUUUUAACACUUGUCCUUGUGGGAUCAAUAUUUGUCUUGUGGAUGGGACACUCUACUAAUUUUGAGGCGACGUACAUUUGCUUGGGUACUACAAAAAUCAAUAUAGCACAAAAGAGAGUAUGCAUCUGUAUUAUGGAUGUACUAGUGUGCGAUAUAAAUGCUAACUAGCAUACAUUACGGUGCUUAACAUGAAUUCAUGAACAUGUAAAAUGAGAUCAAGCAUAAAAAUGUACUAAAAUGAUAUGAAUAACUUAACAACUAAUAUAUGGACACUUGGUCUCGCAAAUUUAAUAGGUAUGAUAUGAACAAUGAAAUAAAACUGUGAGAACUAACACUUAAUCGAUAUGCCCCAAUCUAAGCUAACCGAGGUCCAACCUAUAACUUCAGUUGGAAAGGUGCCAAUACCCUAUCUACUAGUAGUAAUACUGGCUUUGUGGAUCAACUAAGAUGGUGUCCUGAAAGACUAGGGUGUCACCCUAAACUGGUAGGUGCCCCUAGGAGAGGGUCAACCCUCUACUAACAGGAAGGCCUCUGAUAACCUACAUUGGCUACAUAGUUCUAGAACCUUGGGUCUGCUACUAUAGGUCUCACCCUAAGCUGGCAGGUAAGCCUUCAUCCCUAGGUUCACUCGGUGUUAAGUUAUACUCCCAAUUGAACUGACAAUGAUACUGAAAGAAGUUUAGGAUAAUUCAAUCGGAUAAAUGCUCAACAUUAUAGUAAUAUAAGUAUAAUAACACAAACAUGAUCUAAAUAACUUGUAACUUUAAAUCUGUAACAUGCUUGACCAUCUAGGUUUUAGCUGUUCAUAACCCGCCAGCACUGAAAAAUAAAGUAAAUACAAAAUCCUCAAAAUUAUAACAUAAUGGGGAAAUUUUCAUGACUUGAACUCAAGAAUUCUAUGACCUUAUAAAUAUUGAGGUAUAAUAUUUUUGGGAUACUAAAGCAUGUUUUAACAUAUGUGGGAAUACGUACUCAUGGUAGAAUUCAAAUAUUAAAUUGAAGAAUUAAGAAAUUCAUGGCUUUUCAUGGAACCCUAGAUCAAAAUUUAAAUAAAUUUGAGAAUUUGGGGAAAUUUGGGAUUCAAUGUGUCAAAGGAACCCACUGAUGAAUAUCCUGCAUACUAGAAUUUGAUGACUUCUCAAAUAGAACUUGAAUUUGGAGCCUUGAGAGGUGAAUUCUUUGAUCAAACCCUAUCCUUUAGUUCUUGACAGUGGGAGAGGAAUGAAUUUUUUUAACUCACUGAGAAAGGGGAAAAUAAUACCUAUUUUUGGUUGUAGGUCAUUGAUUGUGAGUUUCAAGAGGAGGAAAGACCAAAAGCCCUUCACCCUCAAGUGAAUUGCAUGAUUUUUACACCUCAGGAUGGCACAGUAAUUUUCGAAGAGACUAUCCUCUAUUUUAUGCCGAUAAUGCGGAGACUGCCCUUCAUUAUAUGGAGAUAUAUCAAAUGCACACUGUUGUCAUGCCAUGCUAAUAUCGCGAAUAGUAACCUAAAAAUAUGGAGGCUUACUACGUUGGAAUAUUAAGAUGACCCAAAACCUCUUCCAAAAAUUUUGAAACUCUUCCGAGGCACCCUACUAACUUGCCUAAACAUAAUUUAAGUCAAAAAUCAAUGUUUUAAACUUAAGAAGGCAAAAAAUAUAUUGCUCAAAAUUUUGAUGGUGUCACAGUUAACUACACUUACCUAUGGUUUGAUAUAAUCGCUUUGGGGCCUUUAAACAUAUGACAAAUAGUUGGAAACUUAUCUUGCAGUUUGAGGGGUAUUACAAUAUCUUCCCUAAGGAUAAUUCAUCCCCAAAUGAAACUGUUUGAGUUGGAAUACCAGGAAAACUGAGAUUAUGCAUUAAAUACUUAUGAACUAAAUAUCUGAAUUGGAAACAUAAUGCAUGGACUAAACUAAAUUCAUGAAUUAAUGUUAUGACAUGAGGACGGUUUAAUAGCUAUGAUAGAAAAUGAGAGAACUAAUUUAAAGAAAUCAUUACCUAACACUUAACCUAAAUGAAUAGAGAAACUAUUGGGAUACUUGGCUUGCAUAUCUACUUCUGCUUUGCAAGAAGCUCUCUGAAUGGACUGAUUCCUCACUAAUACCUUUACUAAGGUAUAAUACCCCAUACUAAUCUUAGCUCGGUUAAUCUCUUAAUUUCAUGUGUAAGGGGCUUAAGUCUUGAAAUUUCACUAAGUGUUGCGGACUUAGUUAUUUUUUAAGGCCUCUUAACUUCAAUAUUUUGAAUUAGUAUUCUCGACCCCGAGAUGUUGGUCUUUGAGUUAAUUCAUGUUUAGGGGUGUAAGGACCAUGUCUACAAAGAGUUUCAUAUUUUUCAAAUCAGGAUUAGGUCAUGUAUUGAUCAUGAUUCCAGCAGCUCACCACGAUAGUGUCGUAUAAUGAUGCUAAUGACGAUACUCUUACCGCAUUGCGGUAAUCAUCCAAAUAACAUUACAGUUUUGAAUUACUGCCUGAGGGUCAAUUAUGUCUUUUCCCCGCAAUCAACGUAGGCAUAUCAUGAUUCAUAUCACCAGUUAGGGUGUUAUUAGCCCCUCUUUUACAAUUCUCCUCUCAAAGAAAACCUAUUAAUCUCCCAAAAUCAUCAUGUCAAUUACUUACUCUCCAAGGUAAACCAAGGUUUCAAGUUCCCAAAUCCAAGAACCUUCAAGAAAGCAUCAAGAUUGAUGUUUAUCUUUCAAUAUUAAGUGUUUACGGUAUGUAGGAGUUCAUCCAUGGGUCCCCUUUCACACACGAAGCCCAAGAACCCUUUUUGAUUUUUAAUUAUGAGUCUUACAUAUUUUCAGUAGAAUUAUCACCAUGAAUUUCUUGUUGAUUUCAAUUAGGAGUUAUGGUUUCAUGUGUUUUCAAGUAGAAAGAGUUAUAUCAUGUUUGCGUAUUGAAAUUUCCAUACAAUGUUAAAUUGAUUUUAGAAUGAAUCCCUAAGUUAUGAAUUUAGCCAUGUUAUCCUAUUGUUUUCCAAUGUUUAAGACAUUCCCUUGUUCAAGUAUAGGAUUCCCAAGUGGUUGACGAAAUGUCUAUGCUUUUGAGUCUUUGAAACAUGAUUCAAUCCCAAAGUCUUAAGUUUUAAUAUCGUAUUUUAUACUCAUUCAAUGUUGUUGGGUUAUGAACACCCGAUACUUAUGCGAUUUACAUAAAUUCAGGUUUGCAAGUAUUCACACAGUUAAUUCAUAAAUCUUAUUAGUAUAAUCAGAUACCCAUAUGCAUGAUGGCAUUAUUAGUUUAUGUGUUAUUAAUUACCCCAUAUUCAUAUGCACUGUUAUUUUUAGAAUACCAUUGUUGGCACCCGAUUUUUGCUCUCCGUGCCUAAAAUUAAUAUCUUCAGGCUUUCUAUUCGUUAAAGGGCACGAAGCAUAAUUUUCACAUCUUUUUACAAUUGUUUGAUAAAUUAUUGAUAAUUAUCCUUUCUUUAGGAUUUUAAUCAAUUUGUUGUCAUAUUUUUAUUUUUUAUAAUUUAUUAAUAAUUUUACUAAUUUUAAGAUUUUUAUCAAUUCAUUAUCGUUAUUAACAUUUUACAAUCAUCAACACACAUGCACGACAUGACUUUAUAUAUAUAUAUAUAUAUAUAUUUGCAGUAUUUUUAAAUUAAUUAUAGUUUAAUAAUUUUAAUAUUUUUAACAUUUUUUAAUUCAACAUCUAUAUUUUACACUCCGCAAAUGCUGAGUCGGAUCAAUUAUUUUUGUUUAGUAUAAUAAUUUGAUGUCUUAUCACAUCCGACAAGGACUACACAAUAAUUUCUUGUCAUGUUCGACAAUGACCACUCAGUGUUGUCUCGUUACAUCUGACAACGACCACUCAAUGACACUACCCUUUGGAUAACUACUUUGUCCGUUGGUCAAAAUGAUGAAAAUCCUUUGGCUAAUAACUUAAGGACCUAAGGGUGUUCUAUUAUAAAAAGAGAGGACAGCCCUUUAUUCAUUCGAUAAAAGGGGUGCUCAAUUUUUUUGAAUAAAUAGGUAGUGGGAGGACACAUUUUGGACACAUAUUUUUUGUUCAUUUUUUCCUCUCUUUCAAAAUACACAUUAUUUAUUUAUUACAAUUGAUAAACAUUUUUCCUUUGCAAACCCACACACAUAUUCAUAAAUACAGAAACAUAUUUUAUAUAUUCUAUUUUUCUAUUUUUUUCCUUCAAAAUACAUCAUAGAUAUAGACACACACUAACACAUCACACAUAUAUACACACUAAAAUCAGAUGGUUGCUCACUUUUCUCUCCCAAAACAAACUACAUACACAAAUACCAUCUUUUCUCUCUCUCUAACAAAUCUCUCUCUUCUCCUUUCUCGUAUCACCAUCAUCUUCAUCUCAUCGCAGGUCCCCCAUCGAGAUCCCUACAGGACCAUCCCCUACCAUAUCUCUCUUCAUUCUUUUCGUGCCUCGCUGGAGCUAAUCACCGGUGGGCGGGCCUCAAACUAUUGACGAUUAGAUCUGGCCAGCAUUCUUUUUCCUUUCCCUUUUCCACCUAUUUGCACUGCUUUUUGUCCUCCAGGAGGAGCUCCGGAUAGGUUUCCCCUCGUACAUUUUCCACAAAUUCGGAACAAAAGACCCGCUUCUUCGGCGCUUCAUCGUCGUUGAAGUAGCGUUGUUGGUUGGUGCCUUUGUUUAUUUUUUAUGCUUGAUAAUAUUCUUAUUAUGCUUGUUCUUGUCUGAGUAGUUUAGCUCUUACCAGAAUUGUCCAUGGGUUUCCUUAAUAAUUUCUUUUGCAUAUGGUUGUUUACUUUUGCUGUUACUGCUACUUCGUCUCUGGGUCUGUUGCUGUUUUGCAUUAGACAUUGAUUUUGAAUAAUUUUUAUUAUUUACAUUUAUUUAAUUGAUAAAGAACAUGGAUACUACACUAUUUACAUUUUUAUUUAACUGAUAAGAAAUAAAUACUACACUGAUAUUGGCCAAUGAAAAAAUACCGUCGAUUUUUUAGGACUCCACAAAUAAAAGACAGAUUUUACGUAUACAAAUACAUAAUAAAAAUAUUUUUUUGGCGAUGAUAAAACUUUAUAACAACAAAAGAUUUUACAAUUCAUAUUUUGGCAAGACGAUUUAGGACGGUCAAUUAAUUGAAAAACCAUUUCGUAGCAAAACUAUUUAGGACGGUCAAUUAAUUGAGCAACCAUUUCGCAGUCAUGACUUUAUGUGAGCCAACUUUUAAACCAAAAAAAAUAUUUUUAAAUAGUUAUAUGCACACAUACUUGUUCAAUUUAUUUUGAUUAUUAUUUAUUUUUUUUAUGCACACAAACUUGUUCAAUUUUUUACAAGUGUUUAUACAGGUUAUUUUGGAUACUCGUCGGGAGUUGCAGUCAAAGAGGCUCUUUUAAUUUUAUAUUGUAUUUUAUAUUCUUAUAUUUGUACAAAUAUUAUUAUAGUGAAAACUUUAGUUUUGGGAUGUUGGGUGGGAUUUUCUUUAUUUAUACGACUUCACAUCGUAUUUAUGCAAACUUAGGUCGUAAAUGUUUACAUUAAUAAAUUAAAUUAAUUAAUUCUUUUACGUACUUUGAUAUCAUAAUCAUUCUGAUCUUUUCUGUUCAAAUAAAUCUUUACUUUUUUCUCGUAAAUUUUAAAUCAAGUAAAAACAUUAUUUUUAAAUAUUUUUCUCCUCAUGGCAUAUCAAGAUACACUUCUCUUCAUACACGUCACAAAAUAUUUUUUCUUUUCACAUGUAAUUUAUACAUUUUUAUAAAUAUUUUUUUUUACAUGUGUUUCAUAACAAUAUGUUUUAUUUAUAUAUUUAAUAUACAUAUACCUUUACAAAAUUUUAAACAUUUAUGUUUUUUAAAAAAAUUAUUUUAUAAUUAAUACAUAUUUUGUAAAUUAUUUUAAAUAUACCUCCUCCCUCUUUGAAAAAUUUAGUCUAGCCGGAUACCACAUCUGUGGAUCUCGAAGGGUGCCUAACCCCUUCCCUUGGGGAUAACUUGAACCCUUACCUAAAAUCUUAAAUUGGUUUUCGUAGACUAAAAAAAUUAAUCAUAUUUGUUAAUAAAUAGGUUUCCUUAUUUUCCUUAAAAAUUAGGUGGUGACUCUGUAUAUAAAUUCAUUCUUUUAGAUUCCAUAACGUCGUGCUCAUUUGCCCUUAGGUAGAAAUAGGGGCGCUACAGACUGGCGACUCUGAUAGGGAUGAGGAGACGUUCUAACCAUGAUCGACUCGAUUUUCAAUCGAGGGAAAUAUUUUUACAUUUUUUGUAUAUGAUUAAAUUCUUUACCCAUUACACUACAAAUUAUGUUAAUUUGCUCAUAAGUUCCUUACAUUUUUUUAUCAUUCUUAGUUUAGGAUUUUUAUGCUUUAUUAUGUUAUUUGUUUUACAUAUUUUUAUAUCAUGCUAUGUGUGAAAGGACGCAAGCCAAAUCCAAACUUGUGUUCCUUAUUUGUUUGAAUAACACUACUUAUUACUGCUUUAUCACUUUCAUUUUUCUAUCGAGUUUUUGGUUGUCCACAAUUCACACACCGUGGUACACGCGAGGGGUGUACUGCACUUCUCCAAACCUUCUUUGGAUUCCUUAGUUUUAGAGUCAGUGCAUUUAGCUUAGUGCACCUUCUCGUAAAUAUUCAAUCCCACUCUUAAACAUUUAGGGAAAAAUGCUACUCUAGUAAUAGGUCAUAUUGCAUAUACCUUAGGCGGGAUGGUCAAAGGUAUCAUCUUCGCAGCUAUUAAGCCACUCUUUCAUCAGAAGGUUAUGAAACCUUUAUGGCAUAUUUUGUGUUUGAAUUGAUUCAGAUAAUCAAGAAAUCAAACAUUAAUGGAUUCAGAACAAUCAAAUUAGCCUCUUUUACUCUUCCUUCAUUCGACAUCAUUCUCACAUCAAUAGACAUAAAGCAUUACCCAAACUUCGCAAUAUUUGACACCAUUUUCACGAAUAUAGUGUUGUUAAAUCUCUGUUUCACAAAUAUCUUUCUCGAAGUCCAUGAAAGCCGAGUGUUCUAAAAAUGCUUUGCUUUCGUUUGAGUUUCUCUUAAAGUCCGCAGAUAGGGAAUGUCACUAAAAAACUCCACUUACGUCUAUCUUUUUUUUUUCAUCCAAACUAGAGUGGAAUGACGUCAAGAAAUCUUCCAAUGUUUGAUUACUUUUUCUAAUCAAAAGACAUAGAAUAUUAUUCAAAACUCUACAAUUAUUUGACACCCUUCUUCAAAACAAUGAAUGUGGAAUAUUAUUCAUCUUCACCCACUUCUAACUCUUUCCAGCCAUUGAGCGUGAGGCAUUAUCGAUACUUCUCCUCCAUUUGAUACCCCUACCAUAAGAUCCUCAUUCAUCAAUAACGAGAUUUUAGAUACUCACUCUUUUAAAAGCAUCAUUUUUAGCCUGCUUCUAUCAAUUCUUAUCGACUAUAUAGGCCUCUUUUAGCCACCCUUGAUGGAUACAUUUUCUUUUCUAGAAAACUUAAAAUUGUUCUGAAUCCAAAAUGUUCAAAAUCUAGAUUCAUCUAUGUUAGUUUAUUUGAACAAAGUCCUACCUCUGGCAAAAAGAAGCUCCACAAUAUAAAAUGGACUUACUUGAUGUUGUCUGAAUGUGCUUGUCCAUCGACAUGAACUAACUCCUUAACUUUUAUUUGUGUUGGAAUUAUCCCCGCAAAAGAGAUUAGUUAUUUGUGUUGGAAUUCCAUUGAAUUGUCCACUACUAUGCAAGAGCUUCACCAUUUUCUUCUUCAGCUCAAAUCUACAUCUAAAAGUUAGUUUUUUGAAUCGGGGAGGUCAAAUUUGCCACAAGUAGGAUUGCCACUUCACGAACUGUCCUGUAGUCUAGUGGACUAUCAGUCAUUGGUUGAGGAAUAUCUUGUUCUUUGUUGAUUUACGGGAUACGGUAGAGAAGGAUUGCUUUUCUUCUCUGUUAGUAUAAGUGUUGUUCGAGCUUGAGGUCUGGCUAAACCAAUUCUCAGUCCUUUGCCAGUUUACAAGCUAGUAAAUCUAUUUCCUACAAAGUCAGAACCAAACCCAAGUAAAAAGAACUUAAGAAAUCCAAAAACUAAAGCAGUUUCCAAAUUACAAGUCUCUGGCAAUGGCUCCAAAAACUUGUUGUGCCUAAGUAUAUAUGCAACAGUACGUGGUCUUACCAAGAAAUAUAGUGGCCUUUACAAACCAAGUAUCCAUCUCCCAGAGACUUGUUUUGAUAGCUAUCCAAUUCUAGUUCACUAUUAUAAUCAAUUUAAUGCAAACACAACAACAAGAUUUUAAAAGUUAUAAGUAACUGUAAAUUAAAUAAUACGGUAAAUUAAAAGUCUUGGAAAAUCAAUGAGGAGAAACCAAGGGUUAAGGCCCUACGAACAAUCAUACUAUUUUAUUGAAUUUCAUUUAUUAGUUUUCUUAUCUUGUUUGUAGAUUCACGAAAUUGAUAAUAUUACUAUGGUCUUUCGAGUCUCUAGUCACCUAUAUAAUUUAGACCCACAACUAUAUGAUUGAGCGAGGAAGUGAGAACUAAGUUAAAUACAUUUAUAUUUCAUCCCAAAAGUGAAACAAAUAGGUCACGUAGGUAUAUUCCUAUCCUCAAUGAAAAUUAUAACUUUAUUUUGUUGAAGAUUACAAUUCUAUUCUAUUUACCCCCAUGCACUAUCCUCUUGUUCCUCCUUUCUGGCUCAUAAGAUGACUAUUGAUGUAUUCUAAGCAUUAAGAAUCCUUAAAAUAGUGAUGAAAAGGACAAAAUAAAUAACCAAAUAUGAUAAAUAAUAAAACUAACUCAAUUCAUAACAAGAGUAACUAUGUUCUUGGUCUUAACCCCGGAAAAGGGCUUCUAGCCAAACAUGGAAAAACCAUAAUUCCAAUAAUAGUAUACUUGUUAAAGUCCAUAAACUAACCAAAGUAAUGGAAUGAAAACCCUAAUUUAGGUUUUUACAGCCUCCCUCAAAGUUUCAAGGUCGUCCAAGGUGUAUAGCAUAAUGUUUAAGGGUCCUAUUUAUAGUAGGACAAAUUUGCCGAUAUGAGCUAAGGUCCACAUUGCGCCCUUUAUCGAGGUGUCUUGGGUCAAUUUAGUGACAUAAUUAUGGAUAAAACUUUAAAUGAUGCCUUAUAAAUAUCCCAAGUCAUAUCAUAGAUCCUAACGUGGUGAAUAAGAUCUGUGGCCAGCCAUUGGCUCCAAAAUAUCUGUUUUAUGUAUCUGUGGCCAGCCAUUGGCUCCAAAAUAUCUGUUUUAUGUCAAAUCUUGCAACAUGCUUUUGUCCAUCCAUUCCAAGCCUUGUAUGCCUGUUUAUAAUUGAUUACCAGAUUUAUUCCCAUCCAUAUACUAUAAUUUUCUACUCAAAAAGAAUUCUUUUGCAUCAAACACCUUGGAUUAGAGCUAAAAUAACACAUAAUCCCAGACGCUGAACUACAAACUUAAGCUCAGAAUACUCGUUUUUUUCCUUUUCAUCAUUAACUUAGUUUUGACUCUUGGCUUGUUUCAAUUGAACAUUAAAUACUAUAAACAGGUUUUUCCACACAUAAUUACACAAUCAUAUCAUUAGUAACUUAUUUUUGAUUAAUCGUGAAUUUACCAUUUAUUUACAUCCAAAACUCAUGCACACUACUAUGAUUUGGAAGUAUAAAUGAGGCAACUUUAUUAAUUGAAUGCAGUAAUUUCCACAUUUUGCAGCUAUAAAGGUGAUGAAAAUGAAAUAUGUGGAAUUGAGCUUAAAAGAGAAGAGAAGUGCAGCUAGAAGACCCUGAGCAAAAAAUGGUCUCAAUUACUGCGAUCACAGUCUGGAGGUCACAAUCAUGGUCAGUCAAGCUAGGUCAAAUGCCAACAAUCGGGGUGAUCAUAAGGCAGUCGUGGUGGCCUCGAUCUCGACAUCUUGGGUUUUUUUCCCUUGGGCAAUUCUAAAUUUUACAUAGCUGACCAUAAUUUCAUAAUAAGGCACAAACCUUUUCCCAUUCGGCAUUACUGAAAUUUGAAUUUAUAUUGGAAAAUUUGUAAACCCUACCAAAUUGGGAAAUUUAGUGUGGUUAAUUUAUAAAUUAGUGUUUCAAUUGAAAUUUUAUAUUGUAUUACUCUUGAUUGCAAACUUUAAUUGAAACAUUGAACAAUCAAUUUGGUAUAUUUCUUUUUCAUAACUUCAUGAGUAGAUAAACAAUUUAUCUUAGAAUUAUGUUGAAAUAGGGUGCAAAUAUGUGUGGGUUGUGAUUUAUUAGUGUAGAUUCUUUGUCAUUGAUUGUGGGUUUCACCAUUGCUUGCUUGAUUUAGUUGGGAUUUGUGGGUGAAAACACCAAUUUCUCAAAAGCUCACAUCAUCCUUGAAAGAGAGAUGUUUUUGAACUUUUGGAAUCUUAUAUCAUCCUUGAAAGAGGGACAUGGGUGACAAGGUAAUUGUGAAUAAUAGUAGAUGUAAUUUUUUUCUCUUUUCACUAUCUUAGAGAUAUGUGUGGAUUAAGGACUAUCUAUAUUUUUAGGCAUCUUCCUAGAAAUAGGGAUAACAAAUUGAGGCAUUAGGUGGUUAUGCUUGUCACAUCCAAGAGGUAUCUGCAAGGAUCCAUGGAUGAUAAUCUUGAGGGGGAAUUGAAAGAUUUGACUCAAGAACUCUUGACCUAGCCUACCCACAUAGUUGAUGACUAGAAUUUGCAUUUAAUUAUCAUGGCCCAUGCAUUAUUUUCCCUUAGGAAGACAUAAUUCCUAGGCUUAUCCUAUAUUGAAAUCUCAACCACAAUAUUCUCUUUAAGUUGGUAGUGUGAUUUGAUUAUUAUCGAAGAACUUUCUAAACUGAUUCCUUCCUUUUUAAUUCAUGCAAUUUACUUUAUUUACACUAUGGGAAUACUUAUACUCUAUUAAUACCUAUAGGUUUUGAGCACUAGACUCACUCCUCGAGUAUUUGACCAAAACGUCAGUUGAGCUAAAUUAAUAAAAAUCAUCCAAUGUCCAAAAAAUGAUAUAGGUGAGUGUAAUAAAAAUGAUGUCAUUGUCAAGGAGUGGGAUUUAGUUUUCACUUGUACGGUCUUGAUUGUAUCUUUGCGUAUACCCGUGGUGAUUUUGAUUCACUUUCUUUGUUGUUUUAGUUCUCUAUUGGUGAAUCCAAUAGUGUCCACAAUACUACGAGUGACCAUGAAAGUAAUGUCGGGACUUUUGAUGGUCCUCUUGAUGACAAGGAGCAAUUCAAUUAUAUUGGACAUACGAGUACCAUUAGUAGCCCACCUAACCAAUGGAAUGGGGUAUUUCACGUUAUGAGAGUUAUGUUGAGUAUGCUUCAAAUAAAAGGUCUCUUAGGGGGGAAAGCCCAUGAGGACCCCAAUUUGCAUUUGAAGAAUUGUAGAAGUUUGUGCCCCCGUUGAUAUUGCACACCUCUUCCAAGAAUUGAUAUGGUUGUCCCUCUUCCCAUUUUCUUAAAAAAUAAGAUGGUAUUGUGGCUACGCUCUCUUCUGGUCGGGUCAAUAACUUCAUGGUAUGAGCUUAAUCUGGCAUUCUUAGACCGAUACUUCCCACCAUCUAAGAUGCUACAACUACAUGAUGAAAUUAGGAAAUUUCAUCAAUUAAAAAGAGAAACUCUAUACGAGGUGUGGCAGAGAUUUCAUGUGAAGCUCAUACAAUGUCCCAAAGGGUGGAGACGCUACAAACUUUCUUGAGGAAGUGACAAAGAAAAAUUAGGGAUGUCUUACCUAAGACACCAAGGGUUAUAUAGGGUCUUCUACCACCUCUUAUGUUGAUAAUGAGCUAAGGAAAAGAGAUGUAGAGAGAAGGGAGAACAUGGAAAAACUAAUGACUCAAUUGGAGUUGCUAACGAAGCAUGUGAUGGGUGCACUUAUGAAAAUGGUAAAUGUAAUUUUAUCCAAGAGAUAUGAUGAGAAAGAGACCGAGAGGCUUGAUAAGGUGAUUAGGUAUUUAGGUAACUAUCCAGUGGGUUCCCGCCUGGCCUAUAAAAGCCAAUGAGGGAACCAAGGUUUGAUGAAUUAUGAAAGAGAGCAGGAUUGGCAUGAUCAUUAAAGAUAACAUGAUUGGAGAGAAAGGGAAAGGGAAUAUGACCGAUAUGUGCCUCUUUAUGACCUAUCAAAGAGUAAAGAAUCCAACUUUGUUGAUCCCAAAAAAUUUAGUGAAGGGAUGGACAAAAUGGUCCAUGAAUUGAAAGGAGAUUUUUUGUAUAUCAACCAAAUCAUGGUAUCACACUCUUCUUUGAUCAAGAAAUUAGAGACUCAAAUCGACCAAAUCUCCACUCAACUAAAUGCUAGUAAAAAAGGAGGUCUUCCUAGUGACACUGUUGUGAAUCUGAAAAAUGAUUCCCAAGUAUUGGCCAUUUCCACUAGAAGUGGUAAAACCCUCGGUGAUCUUAUGGUGGAUAUUGAAAAAGAGACCAAUUUUGAUCAACCAAACAUAAAUAAAAAAAUUAUGAGUGAUUGGAAAGAGGAGGCUCUAAAAUCCUAAAGGGGGAAUGGAAAACAACCAAUGCUAAGUGAUGAUGUGGAUGAUGAAGAGGGAGAUCUAAAAGAGUUUGAGAAUGAUGAAGUACAAAAUGAUCCGUUGCCUACCAUGAAGGUUCCUCUUCCAUUCCCUCAAAGACUCUAAAAGAGGGAUGACAAUGUCAAGUUCAAGAAUUUUCUUGCUAAGCUUAUCAACCUACCAAUUAAUAUCCCAUUGCUAGAGGUAAUUCAAGAGAGCCUGAUUGAAGCAUAAAAGUGUAAUAAUAAUAAUUAGAGGCUUUUGUCCGUUGGCAGUUAUCUUACCGGGAUACUCUAAACUUAUGAAGAAGUUAAUGUCAAAGAAAUAUCUUGAUGAUGAUUAAACCGUAGAAAUUACUCAUGGGUGUAGAUCUAUCAUGACUAGAGAUAUAGCGAAUAUAAAAUAGGAUCCCAUGGCCUUCAAAUCCCUUGAACCAUAGGGACACAAAAGUUCAAAAAAGCCUUCUAUGACCUUUCUGAAAGCAUUAAUCUUCUGCCUAUGCAAUCUAUCAAAAACUCGGGUUGCACACUUCUACUAUAACAACAAUGAGGCUAUUGAUGGCAGACUGGUCUAUCAAGAUACCGUUUAGAGUUUUAUUUGAUGUUUUAGUGAAGGUGGAUCUCUUCAUUAAUCGGUGGACUUUAUGGUGCUUGAUUGUGAAAUCGACAAAGAGGUUUCCAACCUUCCCUUGUGACCGGAAGAGCCAUUAUUGGUAUGGAACUAGAAGAAAAGAUAUUUUGGGUCAAUAAUUAUUAAGUAUCCUUUUGGGUGUGCAAAACAGAGAAACAACCCAUGGAGUUGCAAGUAGUGUCCGUCAUUGAUGUUGAGGAAACUGGGGUGAAUAAUGGGUCUAUUGAGGAUCCAACUUGAAAAAAUAAAGGAUGUCAUGCCACGAUGAUAAAUAAGGUGCUAUAUGGGAGGGAACCAACAAAUGCAACAAAAGUGGCUCGUGCUCUUUGUUUUUGAUUUUGUAGAGUAAAGUUUAAUUUUGUUGUUGAUUAUUCCAUGUAUUUGUGGCACUAUGGAGUAUUUUAAUAAGGCUGAACAUGAGAAAGUAUGAAAUUAUUAUGUAGUGGACUGAACAACGGAAAAUAGAGAACAAAAAAGGGCCUCAGUUACAAUGAUUACGACACCUGUUCCACCGCUAUCCCGAUAGACAAUUGUUCGCAAUCGCGGUAAUGCCUGUGUUAAGAGUCUAUCCAAAUGCCCAUUUCCCUCACACUUCCUUUUCAAAUUCCUCUUAAACUACACCUCUAUGAAUUCAUACUAAACAUCCCAAAGGCAUCAUCAAAUCUAUCUUGCAUCCUUAAUCCCAUAUGUGUUUUGAAUACUCUCUUUCAUUGUUUUUAGGUGGUCCUUAGAACACAUGUAUUAGGGAUAGCCUAGAAUUGUGAUUUUCAUUGUAAAAUCAUUUAAUUGUACUUGUGUGGUGGUUCGUUGUUGUGAAUGGUGUGCACUCAUUUGGGGAAGUCUUGAGUACCCAAAAUGCAUUCAAAAGAGAAAGAAAUAUAGUGUACACACCAAGUUCUCGAUCAAAUGCCCAAACAAAAUCAUAUCUAGUUCUUUUCACAUUCUUAUGGCAUGAUCAACUACCUAGGAACCUUGUUCAACAUUUUUAUUGUUAAAUACGGCUUUGGAACAUGAGUUGGCCAUAAAAUUAGGAUUUUAGUUUUUGAAAAAUUUGCUCAAUUUUUCCUCAGAUAUUGUGAUCUCAGUCGUGGGAUAAUAAUUGUGGAUUCGUGAUUGUGGGUCAGUGACCCAUGAUCACCAUAUCUGAGGCUUAUUUCCAUCCUGGGCCAAAAAUCCUAUACUUCUUAUUCUUGCUCAAAAGCCACCAAGUAACCAUCCUAAGGGCAUAUUUUGACAACCUAGCAUAGUUUUUGCAUGAAAAUAUUAAUGAUGAGUGUUGGUGUGUUGCUCUUAACUUUUCCAUGUUUACAUCAUAGGAGUGGCUACUGAAUGUCAAAUUGUGUAUUACGGCGAUCUCUCAAAGAUGAACUGCUACCGGAGAGGGUGAUAUGUCUAGAUAAGGUACCAAAAAAGCUUUUUCCAUUCUGUGACUGACUCAUAACCACUGGGUGGAGAUUCUUUAGACCAUAUCUUUGUUGUGAAAAUAAGUAUUGGGUACAGGAUUUCUAUGUUGAACUAGCAUAGUAUCUUUCUCAGACCAAAUCAUUAAGAUCUGAGAGAAGGAGGUACGAUUUUUAACUUAAUAGAUAAACGAGCUAUAUGGGCUCCCAAAUGCAUUAUGACUCAAUUUGAAACAAAGAGGUAUGAAUCGGGGAGAUGGGUGGCUAAGAAGUUAUGCCUUGGAAGGGAGGUUCCUUGGGCGGUCACCAAGAAGGGAAUAUCCAAGAAUAAUUUCAUAGUGGAGGCGAGAAAAUGGCUACAAAUAAUUUAAAGCCAUAUUUCUCCAUAUGCACAUAUGAUUGUUGUUCUAGACAUGAGAUCAUGGAUGAUUACCUGUAUAGUAGAUGAAAUUUCUUUCAUCGUUGGUCAGCUUAUGAUCUCAAAAAUAAAGUAUUUCAAGACCCAUAGUGGUACGCAUAUCUUAUUCCUUUCUUUAUUUAUUGAGCUAUGCAAGAAAGAAAAGGUUAAGGUAUACCCCAGACACACUUGGGUGCACCCAACAACCCCCAUUUAUCCUCUUAAUAUUUAGGGUAAGAGAGUACCUAGCAGGACAAAAAAGAGGAAGAUUGACUUGGCUAAGUCGAAAGGGGAGAAUACAGACUCAUGCAGCCCAUCCACAGUAAAUGAAUUGAAGUGGUUGAAAUUGUCAUUUUUUCCAAAAAAGAGUCAAAGGAGUAUAGUUAAGAUGGUGUAGAUAUGGAAUCACUUCUAGAGAGUUGGUGAGUGUUGCACUAUUGUUCCUUAAAGUCCUUUGCAUCUUUGAUAUUAUGUUUGAUAUUGAGGGGAGUCAUGAGAAUAGCUUUGUCUAUGUUGAGAGCUACUAGUGGUGUUAAUCAAGUCUGAAGUCAUUGUGAUCAUUUGGUAGUAUAAAUGGGCUUAAAUUUUCAUUUUCAUAUUAAGUAAGAGGUAGUGUUGCUUGGGGAUAAGCAAAGGUUUAAGUUAGGGGUCUUGAAAAGUGGUUAAUUUGCACACUACUAUGAUUUAAAGGUAUGAAUGAGACAACUUUCCUAGUUGAAUACACUAAUUUUCAUAUUUUGCAAGUAUACAGAUGAUGAAAAGUAAAGCUGUGCAAUUGAGCUUAAAAGGGAUAAAAAAGAGAAUAAAGGUGCAUCUUGAAGACCAUGAGUAUAAAAUGGUCUUAGUUACUACUAUCGUAGUCUGAGGGUCGCAAUCGUGGUCAGCCAAGCUAGGUCAAAAGCCAAUGACCGUGAUGAUCUUAAGGUGGUCAUGGUGGCCAAGAUCGCGGGAAAGAUUUUGUGAUCGCGGCAUCACCAAUUUUUUCCAAAGGGAAAUUCUUUAAUUUGACAUAUUAGACCCCAAUUCCCUAAUAAGGCCUAAACCCUUUCCCAUUUUGCAUUAUUGAACUUUGAAAUUGAAUUAGAGAAUUUUUAAAGCCUACCAAAUUGAGCAAAUUUAGUGUGGUUAAUUUUUUAAUUAGUUUUUGUUGUAACUGAAGUUGGAUACUGGAUUACUCUUGAUUGAGAAGUUUAAUGGAAACAUUGAACAAUCAAUUUGGUAUAUUUCUUUUUCAUAACUUCAUGAAUAGCUAAAAAAUUUAUCCUGGGAUUAUGUUGAAAUAGUGUGCAAAUAUGUAUAGGUUGUGAUUUAUUAGUGUAGAUUCAUGGUCAUUGAUUGUGGGUUCACUAUUUUUUUCUUGAUUUAGUUAGGAUUUGUGGGUGUAAACCCAAAAUUCUCAAAAUGGAUUUGUGGGUAAAAACCCUAAAUUCUUAAAAGUUCACAUCAUCCUUGAAAGAGGGAUGUAAGUGAACUUUUGGGAUCUUAUAUCAUCCUUUAAAGAGGGAUAUGGGUUACAAGUUAAUAGUUGUCAAUAGUACAUGUAGUUUGUUCUCUUUUUACUAUCUUGGAGAUAAGGGUGGAUUAAGGACUAGCUAUAUAUUUGAACAUUUUACUAGAAAUAGGGAUGUCCAAUUGAGGUAUUAGGUGGUUAUGCUUGCCACAUCCAUGAGGUAUCUGAAAGGAUCCAUGGAUGAUAAUCUUGAAAGUGACCUAGCUUAACCACGUAUUUUAUGACUAAAAUUUGUAUUUAAUUAUCAUGACCCAUGCAUUAUUUUCCCUAGGAAGACAUAAUUCUAAGGCUUAUCCUAUAGUGAAAUCUCAACCACAAUAGUCGCUUUAAGUUGGUAGUGUGAUUUGAUUUUGAUCAAAGAACUUUCCAAACCAAUUCCCCCCAUUUUAAUUCAUGCAAUUUACUUUGUUUACGAUAUGGGCAUGCACUUUGACGCUAUCAACACCUAUAGGUUUUGAUGACUAGACUCACUACUCGAGGUUUGACCUUAAUAUGAGUUGAGCCUUAUUGACAAUGAUCGUCCUAUAUCCAAACCAUGGUAUAGGUGAGCGUAAUCAAUUACAUACCUUAAAAUCCAUUGAGACCAACUAUAACAACACAUAGCUCAAGCUAGUAACACUAGUUUGCUCCUCUGAACUCUAAUUGACCAAUUUAAUUCCUAACUUUUUUGAAAACACCUUAAACACUGUGAUUAAGUAGUUUAACACUUAGAUUCUAAAUUAUUUAAUUAUUAACACUUUAAGAGCACUAAAAGUCCUCAAAAUAAGGCUAAAUAAGCUCGGAUAACAACAUUGAGGAGCAUAAAUCCACCUCAAAUCACUAAUCUUUUACUUUCGCAGACUAAAAUCCUUUUAGUAGUGGAUAUUAUAAUGACCCUUCAGGUUACUUUUUUUGUUUUCACUUAUUUUCACCGUGAGAGCUUUAAUAUAGCUACCUCAGGUCAUUUGUGACUUGUUGAGACUGAUAGUUCAAUUAUGUACAGAGAUAUGUCUCUAUUUUGAAGUCUCUGUUGGUUCAAAAUAGCCACUAGGAGAAAACAUUGGUAAAAUAAUCUCAUGUUAAAUUUGAUUAUUCUAACAAUUUUUGAAUGUCGAUUUAAGGAUAUGGGGACUCUUGGUUUGGGUCCCGAGGCACCCAAGAUCAUUUUAACCUAUUUUUCAAAAAGCUAAGAAAAUGGAAAAUGAAUAUGGGACCCACAUUUUGUCGAAAUGACCUCAAAUUAAAAUUUUAACCGCACGAUUGAGUCCUGGAUAUCAAAUUUAAUAGGGUAGCAUUGUUCGUUUGCUUAUAAGGGAUUUUGAAUGAAUCUCAAGGUCUUGGUAGCAACUUUUGAAUAUCCAAGUCUCAGCUAAGGCUGGUGCACCAACAAACGCAAGCCAUGUAUCAUAAUAGCAAUCUAUGGCCAAGCCACGAGUUCUACGAAUGCUAUGCUCAUGUUGAAAAAUUGAUUCACCCUCGCAGAUAUUCAAGUAGCGCUAUCAUGAUGGCCUUUUAACAAUUCACGACUUCUGGCCAUUUAGCUAAGUAUCAUGAAUAGUUAUCGAGGGGUCCCAAUUGUGAUACCCAAAUACCUAGGAAGGGUAUAAAUAUCCCUAUUUUAGCCUCUUUUUUUCCCAUUAUUCAUCCAUUUAUAAGAGAUCUAAACCCUAAUUAUUGAGCAAGAUUAGGAUUAUAGCUUGUGUAUGAUUUGGGGAGCUUGGAUAUAUAUUAUUAUAUGAUUCUUUUUCAAAAUUAUGGUAAAAUUUCCUCAUGUUCUUGAUCAAUUUUCCCCUUUCUUUUCUUAAAUCCCUAAACCUUGGUGAGUUGAUUUUAGCACCAAUGUAGCUCAAUUUUCACCCAUUUUCAAGGGUAAUUACUCCUUGAGCAUAAGAGAAUUUUGAGUUGGCUUCGGAAAUGCAACUUCCGUAAAUAGGACCCACAUAGGAUUUUGCGUAAUUCUAGACCCAAAGAAAAAUAAUUCAAUAUGGGUGUCAGUGUUCUUAUUUUGAUUAGUGGAUUGUGAUUUUGAUAGCAUAGCAUCUUGCGAAAGCUUCUCGAAAGGAAAAAUUAAUGAUUUAGUGGAUUUUUUGAGUUAUUUCAUAGUAUGUUUAUGAUAUUAUGUUAAGAUCCGGGAUGUGUUUUAUGCGUUAGUGAUGGAAUUUUCAAUAUUUGGUAUAGUUGGACCUUUUAGGCCAUCGAAAGACUGUAAUUUAGGCAUAAUUAACUUAGUUUCUCAUUUGUUAGGUAAAAUAUCUACGUUAGGUUUUAUUGCAGCUUAGUUAAUAUCUAAAAGUGUAUUAGAUACCUUAGCCUAGUGUGGGGUAGAAUUUUUCUUAUAAUGGAUUUUGAGAAUUUAGAAGUAGCCUCAUUGACCCACCCUAGGCCAAUAUUCGUGUUGACCGUUGUAACCUUUUUAUAUGCUUAUUGAACAACUUGAAAAUGAUUACUGUGGUAAUAUUAAGGAGAAUAUGCACUUUAUAGUUUUGAUGGGUUGGUAUUGGGAGUUGAUGCUUAUUGGUAUUAUAAUACCGAUUCGAGUCCGACUAUAGAUUAUAAUACUGAUGAUAUAUUUACCUGUUUGAGUUCGAGUAUUAUUUAUGAUAAUGAUUAUAAAUACAUAUGAAUUAUUAGUUUGAGUCCGGCCAUUGAUUAUAAUGUUGAUGAUAUUGUACCGGUUCAAGUCUAGGUAUUGAUUGUGAUAUUGAUUGUGUAAUUACUGAUUCAAUUCUUUCAAGGGAAUAUGAUAUUGAUAAUAUGGGUACUGGUUCAUGUCUGGAAAUGAGAAUUGUUUUCAUUUGUCAUUCUAAGACCCUGCAAAAAUCCUAAGCUUAAUUCAGUCCUUUAGAGCUUGAAAAGAGGUCCCAGACUUAGAAGUUUCAGCUAAGUGUUUACACUUAGAAUUAUUUUAGCCUUCAUAAGUUGGCAGUCAUAUUUUUUACGACCCUUUUGACCUUAAAAUAUCACGUUUUAGGUUGAUUCAUGGUCAGGAAUGUUAGUAGUUCACUGUGGGUGAGUUUUGUAUUUUUUUAGACCUCAUUUGAACCAUGAUUGGGUGGCCAAAAUAGUGGGUUGAAGCGAUCUAGAUGCAUCGCAUCGCCCAUCACAUCGACAGAUAAUUUCCCCAACUUUCAAUGCAAUUCCAGUGAACCAACGCAAACUCGAUGCAGCACGUUGGUCAUUGUGUUGAUGCCAUCAAUGCGGUGCGUCGGUCUGUGCAUCACUAGACACAUUUUCAAUCAUUAAAAGCCCACAUCUAGAGGGGUAUUUGGGUUACUAUCCCAACCAUUUUUAGCCCCAAAACAAAUAAUCAAAUGACCCCAGAGGUUAAAUUGCUCACUUUCUGUCAAAUUCUCCCAGAUGUACUCAAGAACAAACACUAGGGCUUUUAAUUACAAGAUAAAAUAUUCAAGAACAAAUCAUCAGUCUUCUCGAAUUAAAGCAUCAAGUUAUGUAAAGUGUUCAUCCUAGGGUUUUCUUCCACCCUUGAAGUUUAGGAAACUCUUUUAAACUACAAGUUAAUUGAUACCAUGAAUUCCAUAUGGGAUUUGAGUGUAUUCAUGAUUAUGAUGUUAAUUGUCUUCUAAUCCAUGGUGUAUUUCAAGUUUCAUGUGAAAUUAUUUAUCAUGUGUAUAGUAUAAUGUGAAUUCAUGUUAAAAUCCCUUGAUUUUUGAAUUGAGAUUUGAAAUUAUGAUGCCUACAUGUUGUUUAGUAUCAUGUUCAUAGAUUAAGUUCCCCUAGUGCUUGAUAAAUUGCUCUAGUGAAUUAAAUGUGAAAGUCAUGACAUGAUAGCAUAUGUGCAAGCUUAUAUCUUACAAGUGUUUAAUAAAAUGUCUCUAUGAGUGUGUUGUGAGCAAGUGAACAUUGCUAUUCUUUUCAAGUUCAUGUUAUGCCUUUCUUUUCAUGUUAUCAAGCCUUGGGGGUAUUCAAUACCUGAAAAUCUAGCUUUUUACCUAGAGUUACAAUAGUUACAGUACAGUCUCAGCUCAGUAUUCAGUUCAAAACAUAGUAGUAUUCUAUCAGUUAGCGGGACCCAGUAAACUCAGUUCAGUUCAGUUAGACAAUAUGAUCAGUAACAGUUCAGUCCAUCCUAGUAAAAUUUAGAAAUCAAAUUAGUGUCUAUUCAGUUGGGAGCAUGAUUCAGCACCAAGUGAACCCAAGGAUGGGGACUCACCUGCCAAUAGAGGAUGUGAUCCUUAGAAGUAGUCCUUACUUUGCAGAACUAUGUAACCAGCAUAGGUUGAGACAUCAACCUACCAGUUGAGGAUUGAUGAGAUGUUCUACCUAAUAGUAGAGGGUACCACCAUUCUCGUUUAGAGCAUCUUCCAGAUGAGGGUGACUCAGCACUUGUAUUUACCAAUAGCAUGGUACUGACACCCUUCCAAAUAGGGUUAUAGGCUGGACUCCGACCAGUUUAGAGAGAUGAAUAUCAGUUAGACGAUUACCUCAAACAGCUUUAGUUUCAAUAUCAGUAUAUAACUCAGCUCAGUUCUACAAAACUAGGACUGUCAAAUAUAAUUAUCCAACUCAGCAUAGAACUCAGUUCAGUUCUACAGAAUCAGGACUGUUAAAAAUAGUCUCUCAAUUAAUAGUAAUUCAGUUAUCAGUAAACUCAAAUAUUAGUCAUUCAGUUAUUAGUUAUCAAAACUCAGUACCCAGUGUUAACAUGAUCUCAGUUAUAACAUUCGUAUUUAUAUGCCUAGUGUCACAUAAUCAAUAUAUAUACUAUAGUCUCACGUAUACAUGUACUCUCACUAAGUUAUAUUCAUGUUACUCAGGAAAUUAUUGUUCAUGCAUAUGAACCCAUGAAUUCAUCCUUACCUCACUUAGCAUACCAGUACAUUCAAAGUAAUGACGUAUACCUUCCUUUUGGUCUAUAAUGUCUUAUAUCAUAGUUUCACAUGCACGAUCUCCCUAUCGCACUUAGCAGUCCGCCCUUCAGUAAUAAACUUAGUGGUGAAUCCUAAUAGUUUGAGGACAAAUUUUUUAUUUUAGUAUUUCAAUACAUUUUUAGUAGUUGGAGUUAGUUGGGGGCUGGUCCCAUCAACUCUACUUUCAGACAAUUCAGUUAGAGGCUUAGCAAACUUGAUUAUUUCAGACAGACGUUCAAAUUUCAGUUUUUCAUUAUUAGUAUUUGAUGUUCAGGUGAACCUUAUGGAAAUAUCAGCCCAAUUACUGCAUUUUAUUAUUAUUAUUAUUAUUUAGAUGUUGUCGCAGGUACCAUUCAUGGGGUAGCUUGUAGUACUUUGGGAUUAUGAGCAUUGUGUGAUAUCCGGGGUGCAGAAUCGAGGCAUAACAAACUUGGUAUCAGAGCCAAGUUCAACAGAGUCCUAGGAAGUCUAUAAGACACAUCUAGUAGAGUAUUGUACAUGGGCGUAUAGUGCGCAACACUUAUGGACAAGAGGCUACGAGGCAUUUUAGCAAAAGUUUCACUUUUAUCAGUAUUCAUAUCAUGCGAGUGAGCAUGAGCUCAAGUUACUGUCUCUGUCUAAUCCUUUCUUACUUCUUCCUACAGAACAUGCCUCCCAAAAAGAACAACAGAAGAAGAAUAGGAAAUCAGCCAGCACUCAGCCCAUUCAAGCAAAUCCCCUAGAUAAGCAUGUCUCCCAUGCUGAAUUCAGAGCUACUUUCACUAUCCUAGCCAAUUCCAUUGUCUCUCAUAAUGAAUUCCCAACUGUUCUUCCUACUAACCCAGUGGAAAAUACUAUUGUAGCUAGAAUUUAUCACUUCACCCGAAUGAACCCUCCAGCUUUUAUUGGGUCUAAGUCAGAUGAAGACCCAUAAGAAUUUCUUGACCAGGUGCAGAAAGUCAUAGGUAUUAUGAGGGUGACAACUAGUGAGAGUGCUUAGUAGGCUGCAUAUCAAUUGUAGGAAGUGGCUAACUUAUGGUUCAAGUAGUGAAAGGUAGAGAGGGCCGUUGAUGAAGGGCCCAUAGAAUGGAAGGAGUUUUUCACUGCUUUUCUGGAUAGGUUCUUCCUAUUGGAGUAGAGGAAAGUUAAGCUAUUAGAUUUUAUUAAUCUGAAACAGGUCAAUAUGACAGUGAAAGAGUAUUCUCUCAAGUUUACUUAGCUAGCCAGAUACGUUCCUCAUGUGGUAGUAGAUAACAGAUCUAAGAUGAGUAAGUUUGUGUCUAGCAUGUCUAAUAGUAUGGUCAAGGAGUGUAGGACCACAAUGCUGAUUAAGGAGAUGGACAUAUCUAGGAUCAUGGACCAUUCUCAACAUAUAGAAAAGGCUAAGAAUAAGGAGAAGGAGAGGGAGAAUAAGAGAGGUAGAAUAGGUAGCUUCAACCUCACUCAGCCUAAGUUAGAAGGUGGAAAUCGUUCUCAGUUCCACCUGAAAUCAUCAAUUCCAGCUUCGUCCUCAGCUAGUUCUACAGUGCCAAAAUUUAGAGAUGGCAAUAAAGAUAGGGCACCAGGCCCUAAACCUCAAGGUAUUGUUAGCAGUUCCAAAACAAACCCUCUUUGCUAGAAAUUGGGUAGAAACCACCAAGGUAUCUGCAGGGCUGGUAGUGAUGUAUGUUUUGGAUAUGGCAAGCUAGGCCAUAGGGUCAAACAUUGUCCUCAUUCAGGUUUUGAGGGUAAGUAUAAUUGUCCUUCAGCUCAGUCCGAUCACCUGAAUCAGUAGGAUGUCACUUCCAGUGCCACCAGUGGGCAGCGCCCAAACAGGCUUUGUGCACUUCAGUCCCGAAAGGAUCAAGAAAGUUUUCCUGAUGUGGUCACUGGUACAUUACAAGUUUAGUGUUUCCACAUUUAUAUUUUGGUAGAUCCAGGAGCUUUUUUGUCCUUUGUAGCUCUUUAUAUAGAUGCUGACUUCGAAGUCAGUCCCAAAAUCCUAGUAGAGUCCUUCUCAGUCUCUACUCCAGUGGGUAAAUCUAUCAUAGCUCGAUGGGUAUACAAGAACUAUCUAGUUAUGGUAUCUCAGAAAGUCACUUCAACAGCCAUAGUAGAAUUAGAGAUGACAAAUUUUGAUGUCAUUCUCUUUAUGUAUUUGAUUCAUUCAUGAUAUGCUUCAGUUGACUGCAGAAACUAAAUUUUCCAUUUGUAAUUUUUGAAUGAACCUGCCCUUGAGUGGAGAGGUAGUACUUCAGGACUUAGGGGUUAGGUUAUUUUUUACCAUAGGGAGAGAAAAAUGAUAUCUAAGGGAUGUAUCUAUCAUCUUGUUUGAUUUUAAGACUCUAGUUUAGAGACCCCUAAUAUGGAGUUAGUAUCAAUAGCAUGUGAAUUUCCUGAUGUGUUUCUUGAAGAUUUUCCUAGGAUUCUUCCCAAAAGGGAAAUUGACUUUGAAAUUGACCUUUUUCUAGAUACUCAGCCUAUAUCUAAUCCACCAUACAGAAUAGCACCUUCAAAACUCAAAGAGUUAAAAGAACAGUUGAAAGAUCUCUUAGAUAAGGGGUUCAUCAGACCCAGCAUUUCCCCGUAGGGUGCACCAAUUUUAUUCAUGCAAAAGAAAGACGGUUCUCUCAGGAUGUAUAUGAACUUCCGUCAGCUAAAUAAAGUCACAGUCAAGAACAAGUAUAUAUUUCUUAGAAUUGAUGACUUGUUUGACCAAUUUUAGGGUGACAGUUACUUCCCUAAGAAAGACCUCAUAUCAGUCUAUCAUCAGCUAAGAGUUAGAGAAUGUGACAUUUCAAAAAUAGCUUUCAGAACUCUUUAUGGCCACUUUAAAUUCUUAGUCAUGUCAUUUGGUCUUACCAAUGCCCUAGAAGCUUUCAUGAACUUGAUUAAUUGUUUGUUCAAGCAGUACUUAGACAUGUUCAUCAUAGUCUAUAUCGAUCAUAUUCUUGUCUACUCCCACAGUGAACAUGAUCAUGCAGACCACCUGAGAAUAGUGUUCCAGACCCUCAGAGCCCAUCAGUUAUUCGCCAAAUUCAGUAAAUGCAAAUUUUUGCUAAUUUCAUUAGAUUUUCUUAGUCAUAUAAUUUUUGUAGAUAGCAUUAGAGUGGAUUCUCAAAAGACCAAAGCAGUAAGAAACUAGCCUAGACCUAUCUCUCCAUCAGAUUUUAGGAGUUUCUUGGGUUUGGUUGGCUAUAACCAAUAGUUUAUGGAGGGAUUAUCAUCUAAUGCAUCUCCCAUAUCUAUAUUGACUCAGGAUAAAGUCAAAUUCUAGUGGUCAGAUGCUUGUGAGAAGAUUUUUAAGGAGUUGAAGAUUCGACUCACUACAACACUCAUUUUGACUUUACUAGAUGGCUCAGAUAGGUUUGUGGUAUAUUGUGAUGCUUCCAGAGUUGGUUUAGGGUGUGUUUUAAUGCAGAGAGCUAAGGUCAUAUCCUAUGCCUCUAUAUAGCUUAAGCCCCAUGAAAACAAUUAUCCAACUCAUGAUCUUGAGUUAGCAGCUAUUUUUUUGCCUUAAAGAUUUAAAGACAUUAUUUAUAUAGUGUACAUGUGGAUGUGUUCACAGACCACAAAAGCCUAUAGUAUGUGUUUUCUAAAAAAGAUCUGAACCUUCAACAGAGAAGGUGGUUAAACUUGUUGAAAGACUACAACAUGAGCGUCAUGUAUUACUCGGGCAGGGCCAAUAUAGCGGAUGAUGCUCUCAGUAGGAUGUCCAUGGGUAGUGUUGCUAACAUAGAGGAUAAUAAGAAUAAGUUAGAUCAAGAAUUUUAUCAGCUUGACUGACUAGGUAUCCGCUUAGUCGAUUAUGCAGAGGGAAGUAUGUGGGUGUAGAAUAGUUCAGAAUCAUCUCUGGUUUCUGAGGUAAAAGAAAAGCAGGAUAGAGAUCCCAUUCUAGUCAAGUUAAAAGAGUCAGAGAUCAGAAGGUAGAGGUUUUCUCCUAAGGGGAAGAUGGUGUUUUAUGUUGCCAGUCUCAGUUAUGUGUGCCAUGUGUAGAUGACUUGAGGUAACCAAUUCUUACAAAAAUGUAUGUUGCAUGUUACUCUAUUCAUCCCGGGGCCGCUAAGAUCUACCACAAUUUACGAGAGAUCUAUUAGUGGAAUGGGAUAAAGAGAGAAAUUACAGAGUUUGUAUCUAAGGCCUCAACAUAUCAGUAGGUUAAGAUCAAGCAUCAGAAGACUAGUGGUUCCUUGCAAGAGUUCAGUAUUCCCAAGUAUAAGUGGGAGAAAGUGAACAGAGACUUUGUGAUUGGUUUGCCUCGUACUCAUCAUCAGUACGAUUCUAUUUGGGUCAUUGUAGAUAGGAUGACCAAAUUAGCUCACUUCUUAUCAGUUCAUACCUCUUAUACAGCUGAGGAUUAUGCCAAGCUUAUGUUAGAGAGUUUGUCAGAUUGCACGAAUUUCCAUUGUCCAUUUUCUCAGAUAGAGAUACCUAGUUCACCUCUCAUUUUUGGAAAGCCUUCCAAAAGGGUCUAGGUACCUAAGUUCACCUUAAUACAGGCUUCCACCCUAAGAUAAAUGGUCAAUCAGAAAGGACCAUCCAGACUCUAAAAGAUAAGCUAAGGGUGUGUGCCAUUAACUUGAAGGGUAGUUGGGAUUACCACUUGGCCUUAAUUGAGUUAGCCUAUAAUAAAAGUUAUCAUUCCAGCAUUCAGAUGGCUCCGUUUGAAGUGCUUUAUGGGAGAAGAUAUAGAUCUCCUAUUGGUUUGUUUGAAGUAGCUGAGGUCGCAGUGGUAUGGCCUGACUUGGUAUUUGAUGCCUUAGAAAAAGUUCAGUUGAUCAGGGAAAGACUUAAGAUAGCUUAGAGCCGACAAAAGUUAUAUGCAGAUAAGCGAAUAAAGGAUAUCGAGUUUGAGAUUAGUGAUUAUGUGUAUUUAAAAAUCUCUCCUAUGAAGAGAGUAAAGAGGUUUGGCAAGAAGGGGAAUCUUAGUCCCCAAUAUGUCGGUCCUUAUCGAAUUCUCAGCCAUUUUGAAAAGAUAGUUUAUGAGCUUGAGCUGCCUUCAGACUUUGCUUCAGUACAUCCAGUGCUUCAUGUCUUUUUGCUAAAUAAAUGCACAGGAGACCCUGUUGUUGUAGUCCCUAUAGAGGUCAUAGAUGUUCAAAAUAGCCUCUUUAAUGAGGAAAUCCCAAUCAUAAUUCUCAAUUUUUAGGUUUGCAGAAUAAGGAACAAAAAAGUCCCUCUAGUCAAAGAUCAUUGGUAGAAUCAGUGUCUUGAGGGAGCUACGUGGAAACCAGAAGAAGAUAUGAAAACCAAGUAUCCUCACCUCUUCUCUGCAAACUCAUACUCAGCUUAAGGUAAUAGUCUUCAUUAGAUUUGCUCAGCUCCAUGUUCAUUUAAAGUUACAAAUUUGGUAUCAUUAUCGUUGUAUAUCACCUUCAAUAUAGUCAUAAAUUUAUGAACCAGUUCAACCAUGUACUCAUGCAUUAGAUAUGUAUGUUCAAUUUGAAAACUCAGCUUAUCGGUGAUUUCAGUUAUGUAUUUCAUGCAUCAGAUAUGCAUAUUCAGGGUGUAAGCUAAGUCUACCAGUGUUUCUCAGCUUAGGAAGCCUCAUUCGAGGAGGAAUGUUCCCAAAGGGGAGAUAUUUUAAGAUCCUGCAAAAAUCCUAAGCUUAACUCAGUCCUUUAGAUCUUGAAAAGAGUUCCCAGACUUAGAAUUAUUUUAUCCUUCAUAUGUUGGCAGUCCUAUUUUUUAUGACCCUUAUGACCUUAAAAUAUCAAGUUUUAGGUUGACUAAUGGUCAGGAAUGUCAGUAAGUCACUUUGAGUUAGUUUUGGAUUUUUUGAACCUCGUUUGAACUAUGUUUGGCUGAUCAAAAUUGUAGUUUAACGUGAUCUCGACACGUCGCAUCAUCCAUCACAUCUAUAGAUAAUUUCUCCUCGUGUUCAGUGUAUUUCUAGUGAACCAACACGAACUCGACAUGGCGCGUUGGUCAUCACGUUGACUCCAUCGACGCGACGCAUCGACCUACUCGUCAGUGGACACAUUUUCAAUCUUUAAAAGCCCAUAUCCAGAGGGGUAUUUGGGUAAUUAUCCAACCAGUUUUUAGCCCCAAAACAAAGAAUAAAAUGACCGUAGAGGAAAAAUUUCUCACUUUCUUUCCGAUUCUCUCAAAUUUUCUCAAGAACAAACCCUAGGGCUUUUAAUUUCUAGAGCAAAUCUUCAAGAACAAACCACUAGUUUUCACGAAUUCAAGCUUCAAGGUAUGUGAAGCGUUCAUCCUAGGGUUUCCUUCCACCCUUGGAGUUCAAGAAGUUCUUUUAAACUAUAAGUUAAUUUAUUUCAUGAUUUCCAUGUGGGAUUUUAGUGUUUUCAUGAUUAUGAUGUUAAUUUUGUUCUAAUCCAUGAUUUAUUUCAAGUUUCAUGUUAAAUUAUUUAGCAUGUAUGUAGUAUCAUGUGAAUUCAUGUCAAAAGCCCUUGAUUUUUGAAUUGGGAUUUGAAAUUAUGAAGCCUAUAUGUUGUUUAGUAUCAUGUGCAUAGAUUAUGAUCCCUAAGUGCUUGAUAAAUUGCUCACAUGAAUUAAAUGUGAAAAUCAUGACAUGCUAGCAUAAAUGCAAGCUUAUAUAUUACAAAUGUUUGAUCUAAUUCCUCUAUGAAUGAGUUGUGAGCAAGUGAACAUCGUUAUGCUUUUUAAGUUUAUGCUAUGCCUUUCUUUUCAUGUUAUCAAGUCCUUGGGGUAUUCAAUACCUAAAAAUCUAGCUACUUACUAAGAGUUACAGUAGUUACAGGACAGUCUCAGUUCAGUAUUUAGUUUAGAACUUCGUAGUAUUCUGUCAGUCAGUUGGACCUAGUAAACUCAGUUCAAUUAAGUUAGACAACAUGAUUAGUAAUAGUUCAUUCCAUCCUAGUACAUUUUAGAAAUUAGUUUAGUGUCUAUUAAGUUAGGAGUAUGAUUCAUCACCGAGUGAACCCAAGGACGGGGGCUCACUUGCCAGUAGAGGGUGUGCUAAUUAGAAGUAGUCUUUACGUUCCAUAACUAUGUAGUAAGCGUAAGUUGAGACAUGAACCUUCUAGUUGAGUGUUGAUAAAGUGUUCUACCUGCCAGUAGAGGGUACCACCAUUCUUGUUUAGAGAAUCUACUAGAUAAGGAUGACUCAACACUUGUCUUUUCUCGUAGCACGAUACUGACACCCUUUCAGCUGGGGUUACAGGUUGUACCCCAAUUAGUUCCAAGAGAGGAAUUUCGGUUAGAUGAUUACCACCCAUAGUUUUAGUUUCAGUGUCAUUAUAGAACUUAGUUCAGUUCUAAAGAACCAGGAUUGUCAGAUACAGUCACCCAGAUCAACAUAGAAUUAAGUUCAGUUCAACAGAAUCAGGACUGUCAGAAAUAGUCUCUCAGUUAACAGUAAUUUAGUUGUCAGUAAACUUAGAUAUUAGUUAUUUAGUUAUCAUUUAUCAAAACUCAGUACCCAGUGUUAACAUAAUCUCAGUUACAGCAUGUAUAGUUAUGUUCUUAGUAUCACAUAAUCAAUAUAUAUAGUAGUCUCACGUAUACAUGUACUCUCAUUAAGUUAUAUUCAUGUUACUCGGCAAGUUAUUGUUAAUGCAUACGAACCCGUGCAUUCAGCCUUACCUUACUUAGUAUACCAGUACAUUCAAAGUACUGACGCAUACCUUUCUUUUGUGCUAUGAUAUCUUAUAUUAUAGGUUCAGACACCCGGGCUCCUGAUCGCACUUAGUGGUCUAGCCCAUCACCAGCAGACAUAGUGGUGAGUCCUCAUAGUUCGAGUACAAAGUUGUUAUCUCAGUAUUUCAGUAUGAUUUUCAGUAGCUGGUUAGUUGGGGGCUUGUCCUAUCAACUUUACUUUCAGACAGUUUAGUUAGAGGCUUAUCAGAGUAUAUUAUUUCAGACAGAUAUUCAGAUUUUAGUUUUUCAUUAUCAUUAUUUGAUUUUCAGAUUUGAACCCUAUGGUAAUAUCAACCUAAUUUUUGCAUUUUACUAUUAUUCUUAUUCAAAUAUUGCAGUAGGUACUAGUCAUGGGUUAGCUUAUGGUCCUUCGAUAUUAUGAGUACCAUGUGAUGUCCUGGGUGCAGACUCGGGGAAUUACAGAAAUGACGUGAAAAAUCUAUAUUUGGAUCAUAGAAGUUGAUUAUGAUAGUGGUUUGGGUUAUCCUUUACUUGAUUGUACACUAUGUGGUCCUACAUUGGGUUACUAACCUUUCCGCAGUCAUUGGCUUAUAGAGGCCAAUUUUGUAGUAAGAAAUGACUAUUCUUUAUUUUGUUGUUCUGGUUUAUUUAUUAAAGCAUGUACAACAAUGUGGGAGUUAUUAUUAGGUUUUCCUUUUUUCUUCUCUUAGUUAUGUUAUCUUGCAUUUUAUCAUAUUUAUGUCAUGAUUAAGCUUAGUCAACCGAUGAUGCCUACUGAGUAUCCAUGGUUUCGGCACUCAUACUACACUUCUAUAUCUUUUUGGUUUAAUUCUAAAUACUAUUUUUAUCAUUAAUUCAUAGACCGUGUUGUGUAGAAUUCUGGAGAUAGAGUGAUCUCUUGGAGUUAGAGUUGCCUAUUUCCUUUAAUCUUAUUUCUAUCGAGUCUUUUUCUCUAAAAUGUAUUGACUACUUUAGAACUUAAGUUGUAGUUGUAGUAGCCUUGUACUUGCUCUGCCAGGUAGAGGUAUGGUUUUCUAUGUUUUGGCUACUUAGACUAUUUCUAAUGUCUUUCUUAUUUUCGAAUUGUAUUGUCCAUUUCACCCUUUUUUGGGGAAAUUUCACCAAGUUAACCCAUUGCCUUCAGCUCUGGGUUACGGUUUAGCUUACCUAUUUGUGGGAUAAAGUAGGUGUCAUCAUGACUCAUAAAUCAGGUCAUGAUAAACCGAAUACCUACUAGGAGUAUAAAUACCCACUUAGCCAAAUUUUCACUAUUUUUCAUCCAUUCCCUAGAAUAUUGAACUGUAAAAUGUGGGAAAACUUAGGAGAAUCAUUUGUGGUUGAUUUUAGAGGUUGAGUAAAGUUAAUUUAAGAGUUUCUUCUUCAAAUUUCUGAUAAUAUUCCAUCAAUUUCUUGGUUUAACUCUCCAUUUUUUCUAAAAUCUCUAAAAUCUUGGUGACUUGAUUAUAACACCAAUAGAGCUCAAAUUUCGCCCAUUUUUUAGGGUAAAUGUUCCUUGAGAAAGAAGGUACAUUGUGUUAGUUUCAAAACUGUGAUUCCAUAAAUGGGAUCCACAUGGGAUUUUUACUUAAUUUUGAACCCCAAGUAGAUUAGUCCAAUACUGGUAUCAUUUUUCUCGUCUUGAUGAGUAGAUUGUGAUUUUGAUAGUAUGGCUUGCGAAAGUUUCUCAAAAGGGGAAAUCAGUGGUUUGGUAGAUUUUUUAUGCUUUUCUUUGGCGUCUAGAUAGGCUAGGUUUACCAUCUUCAUACAUUAAGAUAUUUCAGAGUAUACUUAUGAUAUUAUGCUAGAUAUGAGAUGGGAUUUAUGUGUUGGAGGUAUACUUGAAGGAUCAAACUAGUGCCUUGUAGAUACUGCUUGUAGAGAGGAAUGGUAUGUUUCACGUUACAAACGUGAUGUAUCAUUUACUUCUAGUGAUUAUUUGGGGGACAAAAAUAUGAAGACACCAUCCUUAAUUUGAAAAUUUUCAUUGAUGUGUGUAUUCCAUUUAAUAUCGCCCAAAUAUCUCAAUAAUCCAUCUGAUUGUGAAAUUUCCCAUUCUCACUAAUGGGAGAAACACUAUUUUGAUUGUAAAAGUUGCCUAUGGUUUCUACUACCCCAUAUGUUGAAUUAUGAAAGAAUUUUUGGAUCACUUCAUUUAUCCAUCAUGAAUGUUACAAUUUAGGGCUGAAAUCAAUAACUUCCUCCAAUUAAGCAGCAAACUACUCCAUGAGAAUUGACAAGGGUUUAACAAGAAGUUGCUACAAUACCGUAAUCAUGAUGUCCCGAAAAAAUAAUCCUUUUAAUAUUUUAUUAAUCUUUGGAUUAAUUGAACAAAAUAAUGAUGGACAAUGCAUGGAUAUAUCGUAAAUAAAAUUAUGGUGUUUCAAUUGUGUUAUUGGAUCAAGUGACCAACAAAAGUAGAGGUUGGCAUACCAGGGAUACUGAGGUGGACAUAGGGCCCCCCUCUGUAUGUCUUGUGAGCUAAGAACAAAGAAUAAGGACGAGGAUAGAGAUGAGAAUAUGUACCAGGUAUGACAUAAUUAGACCUCCUUAGAAAAAAUGUGAUGGGAGCAGCCUUAAAAGUGAUCAAUUUAGUUGCUUCAAGGGUACAAAAGCAAAUGAGGAUGAUAAUGCUAUUACUAUCCCAUGGCACACACAAAUAUACAUUGUCGUUCGAGUAAAAUUUAUCCCUUUUCAUCCAGAUGUCGAACCCACAGAGACUUAGUUUAACAACACUCAAAUUCUAUUUUUAUUAAUGGGAUUAAAUUAGUGCCAGUGUAACCAAUAAAGUUUAAGAUCUGAAGAUGCUAAAGUAGCCGAUCGAUAUACCAAUAACCAAGUUUUAAGUCAACUGGUGGAAUACGUUUCGAACAAUACAAGAUUAUAAAGUAUUUGAAAUGAUAAUGAGGAGAAAUCUAGGGUCAACGAACUUUUAACAAUCCUACUAAGCUAUACAAUCUUGUUGGUUAAGUUAUUAUCUUUGUUGAUUCACAGGGUUAAUAACAUGACUAUAGUGGUUUGAGCCUCUAGUCGUCUAUCUAAGUUAUCCCCAAACUAUAUUAUUGAGCAGGGAUGCAAGAACUAACUUAAAAACAUUUGUAUGUUUUCCCCUAUUUGAACCAAAUGGAGAGAAUUAGGUUUAUUCCUAUCCUAACUGUAAAUCCUAACUUUAAUUCAUUUAAAGUGUAAGAACACACUAUAUAUAUCCCACGAUCUAAUAUGUUGUUUCUUCUUUUUGGAUCAAAAUAGAAAUAUAAGUUAAUUUUAGAGGUCGCAAAUCACUUGAAUAUUAUAAAAGAAUAUAUGAACAUCUAAACAUGAUGAUAAUAAUAAUAAACGAACUCAAUUAUAAUCUAAAUAUCCAUGUUUGUAGACUCAACCCUAGAAUGAGGGUGUUUAGCCACUCAUGGUUUUACAAUGAAUUCAUAUGUAAAGACAAAAAGAAAACUGAAGUAAAUAAUUAAGAACCCUAAUUGAAGCCUUCCUUAUGUGCUUUUCACUCCUAAAAGACUUCCAAGAUGUUUACAUUAAGAGCCAAGUUUCCUAUUUUAUACUAUGGAAGAUGUUGACCAUUUUUAACCCUUGGGCAUGGCAAAUCCUUUUUCAUAUGAGAUUUAGGGUGUGACACACCCAUAACGUGGAUGCAUACUAGAAUUUGACUUAUAAUUUAUGUCUCAUCGAAAAUCACACACUUAUCUUGUAGCUUUGAGGGCGUGGCACACCUUUAUGCUACAAAAGACCAGUUUUCUUUGUAGUUAACUCCUUCUGUUUUCCUUUAAGUUCAACACUUUGAAUUAUUUUACAACUUUAUUUGAUCUUUUUCUGCUCUUGGUAAUUGCUCCUAGACUCUUACAUGGUCUCUUAUAACAUAAAACAACACUAAUUAGUGCACACAACAUGAUAGAGUCCAUCGAGAUACACUAGAACAACACAUAGCUUUAGAUAGUAACACUAAUUUUCUCAUCUUAAUUCCAUCUGUCCAUUUUGAUUCUUAUCUUGUUUUGAUUGCACCUUAAACACUCUGACCAUGUACUUCAACACAAAUAUACUCAAUUAUACUAUAAAUAACUCAUUAAGCAUAAUAUCCCAUCAUUUUAUCACAUUUUCAAUGCUUAAAACAGAAAAAUAUGUAAGUACUCAGGUCUUUUUUAUUAGAUAUGAUGUGUUUUUAUAUUGUGUAACAAAGUUGGAUAUUAGUUGAAUAAAAUACGAUGAAAAAACUCUAAAAAGGUGAAUUCUCUACCUAGACAAUGAGUCAUUGGGUGAUGCUACAACUCUUUGUUCAAGAUGUAUGGUGAAAAGUAAAUAAAUUUGAGAAGGAAGCUAAAGUUGAAGUUGGCUACGACUUGUAGGGAUUGACUACGAGGGAAAUUUGGCCAAAGUCCUGAAAGUAUACAAUUUUGAGCCAUGUACAGAUGAGGUUGUUAACGAGUUAUAGGAUCUGACUACGACUCAUUGUGACGACCAUUCUUAGUACUAAGAGAAAAGAUUUGAAAGCUAAAAAUUUACUGGACAGGAAACGAGUCCAGAAAAUGACUUGUAUGGAGACAUGGAUGUUCGUCAUCAAAGAGCAUAAAUGACAGGACACAUAGUUGACAAUGAGUUGUCAUCAAUCCAGACGAAUCAUUUCCUGAGGCAUAGCCACUACCGACUUUAUUUUCAUGUUUAGUUUUGGUUAGGAUUUUUAGGUUAUUUAUGAAACUAUAAAUACCCUUUUUAUGCUUUUGUAUUAGUUUAUCCACUCUUUACAUUCACAACACAUUAUUGAUUCUAAGAUUCGACUUUUGAUCUUGGAAUCCUUUGUUAUUGGUUUUAUGGUUCAAUAUUAAUUUGAGAAUUUUGGUUUUUUAAUUAUUCAAGUAUGUUGAUACCCUGAGGGUAGCACCACAUAGUGAGGGACCAAGUCCCUAAAAGUCAAUCACAACCAAUCAAACAAUAGACUGCAAAAAAAAUUAAGGGCAAUGCAGGAAAGAAACACCAUAAAAGGCUUAACGUAGAAACCUCUUUGCUCAUAACACACCCCAAAACUGGGCCAUGUCAUAUGGAUACCUCAAUCCCACAUGAAUCAGAGGUCUCCCCGAUAAUCCAUCACAUUCAUCACAUCAAUCACAAGGGUCGAGUGAAUCUCGACCAUAUAAUAAGAUAGUGGAAACAAUACUAGAAGUCAUAACUUAACAAUUUCUAACCAUUUAAUAAAUAUCAAUACACUAACCAAUAAGUCUGCAGUUAUCCGCAAUACCUCUAUUCAAACUGUAUUUAGAAAUAUAUAUGUCGGGACAAGCGCCCGAUAAUAGCCAAACCAAGUCAAAAUGAGAUGAAGUCUAAAGAUAGGGGACGAGGAAUGAAUGUCUUCAAAAAUAAGGAAGCUCACCACUUCGUAGAAAAUGUAUGAACCGCUUCAAUCACCUAAUCACUGUACAAGAAUAGAAGAUGAUGCUCCGUCCCCUAUGCCAUGUGGAGACACAGCGUCUAGAGAUGGUUAGUAGUUGGAGCGCUAUCAUGUAACUAAAGGAUAAAGAUAAAAUAGCAUCAUUAUUUAACAACAAGUUAUUAAAUCAUAAUAAAUCACAUCCACACACUUAUCCUUAAAUAUAGGUAUAUCACAUGCUAAUCAAGAAAUCAAGAAUAAACAACAUUCUUGAACAUUCAUUCAUUUGACAUGAAGUGAAGGACUCCGACCUUCCAUACUUAGAUUCGACAAUUCUAUUUAGGCAUAGGACUUUAACCACAAUCACAUACAAUUAGACAAAGAACUUUAACAACUCACAUAUUCAUUAGACAAGGACUUUAACAACAUACACAAUCAAUCAAACGAGGGAAUCUAACAACACACGCAUUCCUCUAGGCAAGGGACUCCAACCUCGUACCCAUUCAUCAGACUAGGGAAUAUAACCUUAUUCCAAGGGAAUCUAACCGCAAGCAGUUUUAUUUAGCAAGGCGCAUUAAUCUCAAGAGAUCUCUUAUGCAAUAGACUUUAACCUCGAGCAAUUUAAUUAGGUAAGGAACUCUAACCUCAAGCCAUUUCAUAAGGCAAAGGACUUAAACCUCAAGCUAUCAUAGCUAUCAUUAGUUGACAUUGAGACUUUAACCCUUUGCCCAUGUAUCAACAUUCAUUUCAUACAAUACUAAAGGAAUUUAACCAUAUAGGUAAUUCAACACUAUACAUGCCCUCAUGGUUCUUAGAGGAGCCUUCAUUGCCUGAUCAUUUCAAUAGGCCAUUGCCUGCAUUAACUCCAUCAUACAAUUCAUGUUAUGGUCAUUAAGACCUUCAUAACUAUUCACAUUAUAUUAACCAUCUUAUACCAUAUUCUUACCACACUUAGUUCAUCAGACAAUUCAAAUACAUUAUCAUGUUUAGGGACUUCAACCCCCUAUUUGUCAAUUGACUCAACAUGGUCAUAAAUUAUACAAAACAUAGCUUACAAUGAUUUUAACAUACCAUUCAUCAAUCAUUCAUGCUUAUUGGGAAAUUUCCCUAAUUCAAAACAUAAUCGACAUGUGACUAGACAAUUCACUUAAACAUUUCCAAAACACCUUAUGUGCAUACCUUUAAUAAGACUAUUUUCAUGGAAGAAAUCUUCUAGGUUAGGGUUACUAAAGACCCUUAUGUUAAACCUCACACAACAAUAAUCCACAUAUGAAAAUCAUCAUCAUUGACAUGUAUAAAUAAGAGUCUAAGCAAGAGUCAACAUUAUUCAUCAUUAGGCAACAAAACUCAUUACAUUUGAUUUCAAAAUCACCAUGUACACUUGCUAAUCCAACUAUAAAAUACAUGGGUUUAGAGUUAUUUAACAAGGGGAAGAGUUGCAUGCCUUAGACAACUUGAUUCUCCCAAGCUACUUGACUUCACUUUGCUGCUAGAUGGGCACCGUUGAACCUAGCCUCUAAUCCUUCACGAAUUGUGUUUGAGAGAGAGUUUUGGAUGUUUGAUCCACUUAAACUGUGUUUAAGGAGGCCUUAUACACUUAUAUAGUAAAGGGACUUAGGGUUUAAGGCAUGGAAAAUUACCACAAGCCCUUGGUUAAAAGAUGUAAAAUGAACCUGUGUAGGUGUACAACUCACCUUACGAACGGUACCCUAGGGUACGAGUAGUACCCUGACUUAUACCCUAGGCUUCUCCUAGGUCACCCAUACUAUUAAGGGUACGAUCACACACCCUUUAGUCAUAUCCAAAGUAUAUGACUCAAUCCUUAGCUCAUAUAUACCACCCGUACUGAAAAUAAUGCACUCAAUAGACUCUUGGUUCCAUAAUGACCAUUCACCAAAUCCACCUCUUUCAUUCGCAAUCGACAAAAUUUCCAAUCCAAGAUCCUCACCAGGAUAUCCUAAUAGGAUAAAAAUAUGACAUAUAAACAUCCCUUAAGGGAAUAACCAACGAUGAAUCACCAACAUAUUUUCUCAACAUAGAUACAUGGAAAACUAGGCAAAUGGAGUUCAUACUAGAUGACAACUCUCACUUAUAGGAAACAUUGCCAACCCUCUUCACAAUCAAGUAAGGGACAAUAUAUCAAGGACUAAGAUUCCAUUUCUAACCAAAUUGGACUACUCCCUUCCUGGAGAUACCUUCAAGAAUACUCAAUUAUUAACACUAAACUCAAAGUCCCUGCGCCUCACAGUCGCAUAGGACUUUUGGUGACUUAGAGAGAUUUUCAACCUAUCACGAAUCACCUUCACCUUAUCUAAGAAUUGGUGAACUAAAUAAGGGCCAAGCAGCUUACCCUUGCCAACUUCAUACCAUCUAAUAGGAGAUCGACAUAUCCUACCAUACAAUACCUCAAAAAGGGCCACACCAAUACUAGAGUGGUAACUACUAUUAUAGGCAAACUCAAUCAAGGCAAGUGGCCAUACCAACUACCACCAUAACUAAUCGCACAAGCCCGCAACAUAUCCUCCAAUAUUUGGAUUAUGUUUUCUGCUUGCCUAUCUGUUUGUGGGUGGAAGGUGGUACUAAGGCAUACUCUAGUACCCAAACCAUUUUAGAAAGACAUCUAAAAGUGGUACGAAAAUGAAGGACCACAAUCCAAGCUAAUAGAAACCAGAGCACUGUGAAACUUCAUGAUCUCUACAAGAUACAACUUAGCAUAAUCUUCCAUCGAGCAAUUUGUCCUCACGGGUAAAAAGUGGACGACUUGGUCAUUCUAUCAAUAAUGACCCAAAAAAUAUUAUAUUGAUUUCAAGAUUUAGGGAGACCGGUAACAACAUCCAUACUAAUUUCCUCCCACUUUAAUUUGGGCAACACAAUUUCUUCUUACAAACCACCGGGCCUCAUAUGCUCAAGUUUCACUUGUUGACACACCAUACACUUUUCCACAUAGCGAGCCACAUCAGGUUUCAUAUUGAUCCACCAAUAGAACUUUAUAAAAUCAUACAUCUUGGUGGAAGUGAAUGUAUAGCAUACUGAGAUUGAUGAGCCUCGACCAUAACCCUUUCCCUCAAUCCAUCGACAUUGAGAACACAUAGUCUACCUUGGUAUCUCAAGAUACCAUCACCACCAAUCACAAAGUCUAUAACUUUUUAUCAACCCAUAUUACUCUUGAUCUUCAUCAAGUUAGGGUUCAAAGCAUGCUUCUUUUUAUUUCUCAACAACCAAAGAUAAUUGAGAUAGCAAAAGCACAAAUACACCACCAUUCUCAAAGUCCGCAAAUCAAACUCCAAGAUUAGCAAAAUAGUGAAAGCCCUUCACUAUUUUCCGCUUAUCCUUAUCUAUAUGGGCCAUACAUCCAAUGGACAAUCUAUUAAGAGCAUCAGCGACUAUAUUUUCAUUACCGAGAUGGUAAGAAAGACUCAUAUCAUAGUCUUUCAAUAACUCGAGCCACUAACUUUUCAAAAGAUUUAACUCCUUUCGGGUAAAAUCAUAUUGAAGACUCUUAUGAUCGUAAAAGAUAUCAACAUGAACCCCAUAAAUAUAAUAACACCAAAUACAUAACGCAAAAACCACGACUAACAACUAUAGGUAAUGAGUAGGGUAGUUUUUAUCAUAAACUUUCAAUUUCCUAGAAGCAUUUUGUUAUUGAAAUUAUUAGGGGCUGAGAAUCACCUCUAGGCAUUUGUAUUUAUUCCAAAAUACCUGACCUCCAGUAUCUACAUACAUUUUGUGACUAAAUAAAUUGAGAGUGAAACAAGGAAUACUAUGCACUAUGAUGUGUUGUGUGUUAUACAUUGAAAAACUAUGGGGGUUUGUAUAUACAUUUUGAUCUCCUUCUCCUGAAACUUGGACCACCUAGCUUGUCUAUUUGUAGAUAUCCCUUUGCUUCUGAUGGGAGUUAGUUGUAGUGGAAAUAAUGCUAGGGAAUAUCAAAUUGGUGACUGUGCUUAGAUAGAGAGUCUGCUACAAACUUAACUCCCUAUAUGCAUGUCUGCACAUACAAUACUGAAAUUGAGAAAUGAGGCUGAGAAGAGAACCAAUUAGAGUUCGUAGAUGCCAAGGGAUGCUUGCUGAGCCCUGCUCCAUCGAACAAGUAGAUCAGAGUCAACCUACAUGAUUACUUGAUGCAUGCUAUUAUAAACCCUAAAGACCAGCCUCCACUUCUAUUUGGUUGUUUGUACCAUGACCAAGGAGAGUAGCAUAUACAUAAAUAAGGUCCAUAUGUUGGUCCCUAAUGACACCUCCUACUCCUAUUCUACCUGGAUUAAAAAGUGCACUGCCAUCAAAAUUCAAUUUGACUAUUUUAGCAGGGGGUUUGGACCAGUUUACAGGCCUCAAAAUAGUCUCCUGUCUAUAUUGUUCCAUCAGAGAGAACAACUUGGUCCAUUCAGCCAGCCAAGAGAUAUAAGGAAAAGCAGAUGCUAACAGCUGAAAAAUAUCUUUGAAUAUUACGAGCUUCACCUUAAAAGAUUGAGACUUCUUGCCCCCAUAUAUAACUGCACACCUGUUCUUCCAGAGGUUCCAACAAAUAAUGAUAGGAAGGGUCUUAGUUACCAACAAAUAAACACCAUUAAUUACCUUCAAUGUCCACCAAUUCUUUAGUAAAUUCACAAAUGAAGUUGAAAUAUGAAAAAUUCCUAGGGAUUAGGAAAAGAAUUGCGAAAUACACCUUUUAAAUUGACCAACAACAAAAAUAUGAUGGAUAGUAUCAGUACCAGGAUUGUGACAGCAAACACAAUCAACCGAAUCAAUACUAAAUUUUUUGGGACAUUUACUAGUAGGCAGUUUCUUCCUCAUGGCUCUACAUACAAGGAAAGAGCAUUUAAAAGGGAUAAACUUAUUCCAAGUGUAUUUAUCCACUAUGAUAACAAUAGUAUGCUCCCUUAUUACCUCCCAAGAAGAGAAGUAUGAAAAUUAUCCACUGCCAGUUAGCAUUCAGAUAGGUUGAUCUUUAAUUUCAUCCUGGUACUGAACUGAAAUUCUCAAAAUCCUUUGCAUAAUAUAAGGUUGAACAAUACUUGUUAGUUUCUGAAGAUUCCAUUGCCCCUCAGUCCAGAAGGAUGAAACUCUUACAUUAUUUGACCUUACACCACUAGAUCAGAGGCAAUAUAAUGGCCCCAGACCUCUCCAAUUGUCCCACCAGAAAUAGCAAGCACCAGAGUUGAGUCUCCGAAAAAUAUUCUUCUCUGCAUCAUUCUUAAUUUUAAUCAUAGUUCUCCAUAAUAGGGAUUGUCCAUUGCAACAUUUCCUGGUGAUGUGUCAGCCGAUGCUAACAUAUUUGAAGCUUUUAACUCUGAAUAAUUAUGAAGUCUUAAUCAUCUUUUGUCGUUUUUGAUCAUUUUUGUAUAUGAAUGUAAAUACAAGUGAUCGGGGAGGAAACCAAAGGAAAGAAGAAUAAAAUAGUUAAAAUCUGGGGGAAAUAUGCUGAAAUGUAUUUGACAAUCAUUUUGAAGCGUCGUCAUACAUUGGACAGGCUGUCAAAGUCAUCGUUAAGAUUAGACAGAAUCUGAGAAGAUUAGAUGAACUAUGACAAUGAUUCGGAAGGGCUAUGAAAUAUUUGACAUCUCAUCAAAACCACCGUCAACAAGAAGGCAGAGUAUGCUGAUUUCCAGUGAAGUGUGACGCUAGUUUGCAAGAGCCGUCAAGAUCUUUGACACACCAUCAGGAUUACCGUCUGAAGAGUCAGAAGAUAACAAUUCACUGGAUUCUUUGACAACAUCUCGCACACAUCGUUAGGUGUUUGACUCGCCGUCAAAAGCAUCGUUGUCUAAUCCAAAAAGAAAACUGAAACAUUAAUUUGAUUUCCUUAUUUAGGGUUGACUUUUUAAAUACUUGUUUUAGGGUUUUUAAAGAUUAUUAUUGGUCAUUAUCUAUCAGACAUUAACUCUGAGAAGAGAGGGAUGUACAUUGCUCUCUUUAAUCGAUUAUGCUUCUUGUUUCUUAUCAACUAUUUUUGGUUUUCCACCUUGUGAUUAAAUUGAAAGAACUACUUGUUGUUUUUCAUCCAUUCGUAAGUUGAUCCUUAUCAUCAUGAAUUCAACUUCUUAUUUCGUUCAUCAAAUCAUAAGCGGCUAAUUCCAUUAGCCGAAGUUAUGAAAUUCAUGGAUUAGGGUUUGAUAUGAUACUAGUUGUUUAACGGAUUCAAAAAGUAGUAGAACAUCUUACAAUUCUAUUGUUUUAACUAAAAUCUAGUGGUUGCAAACAUUAGAUCAUGCCUUAGGUUUUAUUUGCUUCUAACGGAGAAAUAUACUAGGGGUCGUGAAUUAUCAACAGGGACUCGGAAGCUACCAACCUUCUGUUUAAUGAUUGAUGCCGUAACUGGAUUAAUCUACCUGAGAUGACAUCCUACUGGAAAUAGAUAAGUUAUCUAAGAUCCAGAGAAUUAGAUAAUAAAUGUUCUGGUGCAGUCAAGAGAUAAGUCAGAAAGUAUCAUAGUCAAGGAUAGUCUUCUGUUCUACAUACUUCAAGAAUCCCAAUCAUUACCUAGUAUCUGUCAACUCCCAAACGCCAUGGUGAACAUAACUAAGGUCAAAAUUCUAAGUGCUCAAAGUGCAUCAACUAUGUGUCGACACUCAGGUAUGAGAAAAACUUCAACUUCAUCUUUUUUUGGAUCAAUUAUGAAUAAGAGACCUUGGUUUCAAAGGAGUGAGCUUAAACCAUUGGCAUUCUUCAAGCUCCAUCGAAAACUAGGGUUUGUAGGAGAAUGCGGUAUAAUUCUAUGGAAAUCUCAGUAAAGACUUUGGUACUUCGGUAUAAAGAUUAUGACAUCUGUUAACUCCCAAAAUCCAUGGAGAACAUAACUCUGGUUUCCCAUUUAUCUUGAUUACAAACACUGAAUUAGUGAAAGUGACAUUUGAUUUUCUGUGAAACUUAAACCCCCAUCUUUUAGAAAUAGUAAACUAUCAGUAAGGCAUUUUGUAAACAAAUUGAAGUUCACACCCGAUUCUCUAUCGGAUUCGACCCCAACCUAGUUGGGUUUUAUGUUGACAACGACCGCUUACACCCAUUCAAUAGUGUAAUUUAAGUAUUAUCAGGCACUAGCAUGGUAAAUAAAUAACCUAUAGAAAAUAAAUGCUUGAAACGGAUCAGUAGUGAUGUGAUAUAUACUUGAGUGCCAUGUGUGUGUAAUGUCUUACUCAGUUCCCAUUGUGCGUUGAAUCUAGAACUUGCCCAUUUAGUCAUGCCAUAGUCAUAGGAUAGGUCGUUUUUGCAUGUUAACCCAUUUUAGCUUAAAUCACUAUCCAAGUGUGAACAAUAUCCCUUGAUCCCUUUUUGAGCCUAAAUAGCCUAAUUAUUUCUUGUACACCUUUCACCUUCCCAUUACAUCACAACGAACUUGUUUUGGCCCUGGUCCUCCUUGGAUACUGUGCACCUUGACUUAGGCAAAUAACCUAAGUUGAGGGUGGAUACUAUAGGGGUGCAUGAUGCAUUAUGAGUAUGAAGAGAUGUAAAAUAAGGAAAAUAAAUAACAAGUUGGGUGUAGUAAAAAAACAAAUAGAAAAGAGAAAACUAAAAAAGUUGAUCUAAUGCUUGAACAGACAGCACCCAUCUUGAGAAUACUUGACAAAUAAAAGAGGGAAGAAAAGAAGGUCAAAAGUUGAAACCCCAUAAGUUAAUUUAGUGGCAAGGAUGUGUAGUCACUAUGACAUACCCUUGAAUGUCAUACCAGCCCCUAGCCUACGUUACAAGCUUAGAAAAUCCCUAUAGUGGUCCUAACUGACUUAUCUGAAGACUUCGGUACUGACUAUACGGGCAAGCCUAUGGCAAUCGAUGUGCAAUGUUGGAACAUCAUUCUGAGAGUGAGUAUUAUGUUCAUCCCUAUGUUAAUACUUGUAAAUCUAAAUGAAAAGGGAUUUCUUUAUUCUGAGGGCACACCAGGUAUGUUGCUAUCAACUGCUUUGUUCGAAGAAUUUAAUUUGGGUAUGUGCUAGGUUGUUAUUGCUGAGAUUUUUACCAUAUCUAUAUUUUUGUGAGUUACAUGGUUGUUUUAAAAUAUUAGACACAGUUGAUUUUAUUUUGAUUGAUCAUGGAGAUGUGCAUGCAUUUAGAACUGAUAAGAGUAGUUAGCUACCGAAUUGUAAUUUGUUUACUCCUAGUUAUGUUUUGGUUGCUUGAGGAUAAGAAUUUUUUUAAGUUGAGGGUGUUGAUGUGUGAGCCAAUGCUAACUUUGAAGCUUUUAACUCUGAAUAAUUGUAAAGGAAAAAAGAAUAAAACAGUUAAAAUCUGGUGGAAAUAAGCUGAAAUAUAUCGAACGAUCAUUUUGAAGCGCCGUCAUACAUGGGACAGGCUGUCAAAGUCAUCGUCAAGAUUAGAUGGAACCUGAGAAGAUUAGAUGAACUGUGAUGAUGAUUCGGAAGGGUCAUCAAAUAUUUGACAUCUCGUCAAAAUCUUCGUCAACCAGAGGACAGACUAUACUGAUAUCCAGUGAAGUGUGACGCCAGUUUGCAAGCGCCGUCAAGAUCUUUGACAUACCAUCAGGAUUACUGUUUGAAGAGCCAGAAGAUAACAAUUCACUGGAAUCUUUGAUGACAUCUCGUACAUGUCUUUAGGUGUUUGACACGUCGUCAAAAGCAUCGUCGUCUAAUCUGAAGUGAAAAUUGAAGCUUUAAUUUUAUUUCCUUAUUUAGGGUUGACUAUUUAAAAAAUUGUUUUAGGAUUUUUAAAGAUUAUUAUUGGUCAUUAUCUAUUAGACAUUAACUCUGAGAAGAGGGGCACGUACAUUGCUCUCUUUCAUCAAUUAUUCUUCCUCUUUCUUAUCAACUAUUUUUGGUUUUCCACCUUGUGAUUAAAUUGAAGGAACUACUUGUUGUUUUUCAUCCAUUCAUAAGUUCAUCCUUAACAUUAUGAAUUCAACUUGUUAUUUCGUUCAUCAAAUCAUGAGCGGAUAAUUCCAUUAGCCGGAGUUAUGGGAUCCAUGGAUUAGGGUUGAUAUUAUGCAAGGUGUUUAACGGAUUCAAAGAGUAGUAGAACAUCUUGAAAUUCUAUUGUUUUAACUAAAAUCUAGUGCAUUCAAACAUUAGAUCAUGCCUUAGAUUUUAUUUGCUUCUAACAGAGAAAUAGACUAGAGGUCAUGAAUUAUGAACAGGGACUCGAAAUCUACCAACCUUCUGUUUAAUGAUUGAUGUCGUAACUGGAUUAAUCUACCUGAGAUGACAUCCUACUGGAAAUAUAUAAGUUAUCUAAGUUCCAAAGAAUUAGAUAAUAAAUUUUCUGGUGAGGUCGAGAGAUAAGUUAGAAAGUAUCAUAAUCAAGGACAUUCUGUUGUUCUACAUACUUCAAGAAUCCCAAUCAUUACCUAGUAUCUGUUAACUCCCAAAAGCCAUGGUGAACAUAACUCUGGUUUCCCAUUUAUCUUGAUUACAAACACUGAAGUAUUGAAAGUGACAUUUGACUUUCUGUGAAACUUAAACACCCAUCUUUUAGAAACAAUAAACUAUCAGUAAAUUAUUUCGUAAACAAAUUGAAGUUCACACCCUAUUCCCUGUGGGAUUCGACCCCAUCCUAGUUGGGUUUUAUAUUGACAACGAUCACUUACACCCAUUCAAGAGUGUAAUUUGAGCCUUAUCACCUGUCUACAUGGUUUAUUCUGUGACAAUAUUUAGCUCUAAAAAAAUUUCCCUAAAGAGUUUCCUUAUUCUCAAACACAACCAUUGUUUGAGCGCAUGGCUUUACAGAUAUCAUCCAUAUGUCUGAUCCCAACACCACCUUCAUUGUAUGGAAGCUCACCACUCCAUAGUUAAUGCACAAACUGCUUCAAUCACCUAAUCACUAUGCAAGAAGAGAAUAUGAUGCUCUAGCCCCUGUGUCACAUGGGGGCAUAGCAUUCAAAGUCGAUUAGCGGUUGGAGCAUUAGCAUAUAACUCAAAGAUAAGGAUAAAAUAGCAUUAUUAUUCAACAAAAAGUCAGUAUAUCACAAUCAAUAGUAUCCACAAACUUAUCCUAACAUAUAGGUCUAUUAUAUCCUAAUCAUGAAAUGAAGGCUCUAUAACAUUCUUAAAUAUUCAUUCAAUAGCCAUGAACUAGAGGACUCCGACCUUUCAUACUUAGAUUCAAUAAUUCUAUUUAGGCAUAGAACUUUAACUACUAUCACAUACCAUUACAGAAAGGACUUUACCCAUGCUCACAUAUUCAUUAGACAAGGACUUUAACUACAUACACAACCAUUCAAACAAGAUACUCUAACCACACAUGUAUUCCUUGAGAAAAGGGACUCUAACCUUGUGCCCUUUCAUUAGAAUAGGGACUCUAACCUCUUUCCAAGGGACUCUAACCUCAAGACAUUUUAUUCAGCUAGGUACAUUAACCUCAAGAGAUCUCUUAUGCAAGGGACUUUAACCUCAAGAAAUUUCAUUGGCCAAGGGACUCCAAACUCAAGUCAUUUCAUAAAGCAAGGGACUUCUACCUCAAGCCAUCACAACUAUAAUUAGUUAAAAGUGGGACUUUAACCCUUUGCCUAUGUAUCAACAUUCAUUUCAUACAACACUAAAGGACUUUAACCAUAUAACUAAUUCAACACUAUACAUGCCCCCAGGGUCCUUAUGGGAGCCUUCGUUGCUAAACUAUUUCAAUAGAACAUUGCCUCCAUUGAAUCCAUCAUACAAUUUAAGUUAUGUUCAUCAAGAGCCUUACAACUAUUCACAUUUCAUUAACCAUCUUAUACCAUAUUCUCAGUAUAUUUGGUUCAAUACUCAAUUCAAAUAGAUUAUCAUGUUUAGGGACUUCAACCCAUUAUUAAUCAAUUAACUCAACAUGGUCAUAUAUUAUACAAUAAAUAGCUUACAAUACUUUGAACACACCAUUCAUCAAUCAUUCAUGCUUAUUGGGUCAUUGCCCUUGUUGAAAAUAUCACCAAUUUAUGACCAGACAAUUCACUUAGACAUUUCCAUAAACACCUUAUGUGCAGACCUUUAACGAGGCUAUUUAAUGGUAGAAAUCAUCAAGGUUUGGUUUAAUCAAGACCCUCAUGUUAAAACUCACACAACAAUCACCCAUAUAUACAAAUCAUUAUCAUUAAUAUGUAUAAAUAUAUGUCUGAGUAAGAGUCAACAUUAUUCAUCAUUAGGCAACAAAACCCUUUUCAUUUGAUAUAAAAAUCACCAUGUACACUUACUAAUUAAAGUUUAAAAUAGAUGGGUUUAGAGUAAUUUAAAAAUGGUAAGAGUUACAUGCCUUAGACAACUUUAUUUGCCAAAGUAGCUUGACUUCACUUUGCUCCUAGAUGGACACCAUUAAACCCUAGCCUCUCAUCCUUCAUAAAAUGUAUUUUAGAGAGUUUUAGAUGUUUGAUCCACUCAAAGUGUGUUAUAGAGACCUUAUACACUUAUAUAGUAAAUGGUCAAAGGGUUUAAGGCAUGGGAAAUGACCAAAAGGCCCUUAGUUUAAAGCUAUAAAAUGAAUCCGUGCAUGGGUACGACUCACCUUAUGAACCAUACCUUAGGGUACGAGUGGUACCCUGACUCAUACCCUAGGCUUCUCCUAGGUCGCCCAUACUAUUAACAGUAUGAUCACAUACCCUUGAGUCAUAUACAAAAGGCACAACUCAAUCCCUAACUCAUAUAAACCAUUCAUACCUAAAAUAAUUCACUCAUGCUAGGACUUCCCUCUAUACGAUCAUAUUGGGGAUGACUCAUAUACUUAGGGUAAUAUUAAGGAGGGGGUUAGUCAUACCUAUAACAGUGAGUAACCCUUACCAUAUUACCUCAAAUAUAAGAUAGAAGGGUAAGCAGGAUACAACUUGUAUCCAAAGGGUACGACUUAUUCCCCUAGUCAUACCUAACCGGGUGAUACCAAAUGGAUAGUUUCUUUCAAUGGGUCAAGUCUAAGUAUUUCAACUCAACUGAGGAAAAAGAAUGGCUUGCCCUCACUAGCACCAAUCAAAUCCACUAUAAUGAACCUCUUGAUUGCAUACUCAAUUUUAGACUAAUUCUAGGCUCCUUUCACUUGUAAUAAUUCUACUACAAGCUCAUCUUGGAAACUUUGCCAAGGACCCUCUACACUAAUUAACUCUAAUCAACAAUAAGAUUCGGUAACUCUACCUAAGCACUCUCUACUGAAAGAGAAAAUACUACUCUUAUAGCAUGAGUAGUUUAAUUAGAAAUUAACACUUAAGAAUAAUCACUCACUCUUUAAGCAUAAUACAAAGAUAAGAACAUGAAAAAUACUUUAGCAAUCUUAAAAUGAAGUUUUUAAUGCCUCUUUUUACCCUUUAGAUUUUUGCAAAAACUAUUUCUUAAAGAACCAUUUUUUUCUUUUAUAAAGGAGUGAUGAUUAGGGAUAAGAUAUUAUUUUACUAGGGGUCCUAUUCAGUAUAAGCAAGACCUACAAGUUUAUUACACAAGAGGAAUAAACUAUGUAGACACGCAUGCCAACUGUACUAUACCAUGAACAUCCAGGGACCUGGUCUAUUGUAGUUAGUUGCACAUCAUCGAACUAUGUAUGGCAAUUUCCCCCCUUUUUAUGAUGACAAACUAACCAUACAACUUUGAGCAAAUCCAUUACAUUUAAUCAGUAUGAGUAGCACUCUAAAGAUGAAUGUUCCCCCAAACAUCAUGCUUCCACCAUCAUGCAACACAGGUACCUAUUCCUUUAUUGUCAUAUGCAACAAAAACUCUGAUCAAAUAAGCACAUUUGUUUUGUUUCUUCAACCUGUCAUCAUACACCAUUAUUUAUUUAGUGCAUUUGUUGCAUUUGUAUUUGCAUACCUCCACCCCUCUUAAAGCCUUCCUUCAUUCAUCUAUUAGCGCAUCACUUACUUCCCCCUAUUAUUAUCCCAUUCAAAUCUUCAACUCAACUCAUCAUAGGCAUCUGCAUCAAUUGCACCUGGUACCUGGUCCCUACUAUAUGAACUCAGUAUUCCCUUAUUUUGCAUUAUUUAAAAGGUAAAUAAAGUAAACCAAGAUUAAUAUAAGCAUAAAUUAGUUAGCUCAUGGCCACAGGGGCAACACUAACAUGAAAAAUAACUUUGCAAUUUAAAGAGAACAAAUGUAACACACAAAGCAAAGAUUAAUUUAUAAGAAGAGGAUAUGUAUCAUAAAAGUGCAUAAAUUAAAUAUUCUAGGGAAAAACUCUAAGGAAUCAAGAAGGGUUAACAUAUGAAAGAUUUGGGAAAAUAUUUCAAAGGAGUAGGGUUAGGUUUUUAUUGAGAUGCUUUAUAUCUGCAUUUGGGCCAAGGACCUUAUCAAUUAAGAUUGACACUUUCUUCUUUAGUUCUGCAAUUUUAGUUCUGAACAUUUCAGAUUCAUACAGGAUUCGUUUAGAGAAAUGCUAAAUUGUUACCUGGAGCUUACUUAUUUCUUCAUCCUUGGCAGCCAGUUUGAACUUCUGUUACUGUAUUUCCUUGUUGAACUCAUUUAGAGAAAUGCUACCUGAUUUAACACAUUAAGGUUUGACUAAUGUCUUCAUGCCAAGCAUUUGUAACAUAGUCCCUUGGGUUCCAUUUUUAAAGACAAUACCAAAUUGGUCAAAUACCUUAUUUAACCAAUAUCCAUAAUGCAUGUUAUGUUUUCCAUUUUCCUAAGAACCACUUUAUUAAUGUGUUCUAUCAUUAAGACAGGUAUAUUAAAGAAUUCAAAGCUACUUGUAAAUUCAAUUACAUAUAGAUUAGUGGAUGAGACAAUGCUUUUAUUUUGUGAUCUAGGUAGAAUCACCUUGUUCACAAAGUGAAAGACCAAUUGAGACCACUCUUGAGUGAUUUCCUAUUCAUUGUAGCCAUAGAUUUUCCUUUGACCUUUGAUUCAUUAUAUAAGAACUCUAAUGAAGGCAGCUACUUUGAGACAAUUUAAACACCAUAUAUAGGUACUUCCAAACUUCUUCCUAAUAUUUACUCAUUCAGCUAUAUUGUCUUUCGUUGGCCUGUGCAGCCAAAUUCAUCCCAUCUUCUGAGAAUUCCAAAAUAAAAAAGAAUUCCCUAACUAUGGCAUUAAAAACAAUAGGAAUAGGUCCUUCUAUGAGAUACACCCAACCUUAAUGUUUAACCAGCUCAACUAAUUUCAACAUAUCAGGUUCCCUUAGCAUGUUUGAAUAAAAAAUCCUUCUAGUUAACACCUUUUGAUUUUUCAAGAACCGGUUUCUAUCUUCCUUGGAUGCAACCUCACUUUUCUUCUGAUUCUUUCUUCUAUUAUAAGUGAUCACAUAUUCUAUUUUAGCUACUAUUCUCUUCUUGGAACCAGGUCUCUCAAGAAUCAUCUACUUCUCAGUAAAAUUUCUAGACCAUUUUCUAAAAAUUCCUGGUGUUUUACUAAUAUUGGUUUUCCUGUGAUCAGCUAUGCUCUUUCCUGGUCUAUUUGACUAUAAGAAGAGAUUUUUAGCAUCCGAGGUUUCAUCCACUAUGACACUAUUAGACUAAUUUUAAAGAUUCUGGGAUGAUUCUUCAUUAAAAGGUUGAGUGAUAAAGGUUUUAGGCUAUGAAAGAUUAAGAAUAGAAGGAUGUUUUUCAGGAAGAUUUGAGAAGGGAUAUUUAACUAUGCCAAGCUUUGAAUACUUUAAAAUUAAUAAAACUAGGAGAUCUACAGCUAUCAAGAAGGUAUUUUUCUUAAAAGGGCUAUUUAGAAUUAGUAUUUUUCUUUUUGACGAGAGAAGGAGUUGAUAAAGAUGAAUUUAAGGGAAAGAUAAUCAUAAGGAAGGGUUUUCUAUGGAAAUAAGAUAUGAUCAAUAUCUAAUUUUAGGUGACUCACCCUCCCUUUUAGAAUAGGAACAUUUUUUUCUGACACAGGAACAGGAAGGAUGCAACUUUUUCUUCAUAGAAAAGAUAAAAUUUGCACAUAUAUGAUACUAACCUGAGAGAUGGGACUAAGCCCCUCUCUAGUUUGCCUAAAUAUUCAACUUUGUGUUUGUCUAAUUUGACCACCUCAAAAGUUGUUCCCAUGGGUGUAUACCUUCAAAUAUAUGGUACUAAGUUAGACCAACAAGUACCUAAUUUACCAAGGAUACAUGCCUUCUAAACAUAUCAAAUUUUGUAAGGAGACACUAUUUCAUUUGAUAGUAGGUCAGGCUAAUAUGAUUAAUCCCAUCAUCAAAUUUUUAGAUUCAUUACACCACAUCAUACCACGACUUGUUUUGGAAAUAGGUCUGAGGACCAGGUCCUAGAUUUGGCAUUCUUCAAAUAUCCAGAGUUCUUUUUACAUUGGUUUGAACUUUUCCAGCCUCUUUGAUAUCUUUGUGAGCUCAUUUUUGGGAUAGGAAUGCUAAUCACAUAAGACACCUUCACUUUAAAGUGUCUUAGGAAAAAUAAUAUAAUUAGACCUUUCAUUUAUAGCCUUGAGCAAUUACAUAUCAAGAAUAUUAUUCUGAUUGCAAACCUUUUCUCCCUCCUACAUUUAUUAUCAUUUGUUAGACUUGGGAACCUAUUUGAGUUUGAGUUCCCAGUAGGAGGAUAAUGGUGUGAUUAAAUACUUCAUUGUCCAUCAAGGUAAUAUGAGCUCCCUUAUAUUUUACUAAUGUCUUAAAUAUUUGGGAUAGGUAUUCCCCUGGUGAACAUAUCUAACAUUUGUCAUUCUUGCUCUAAGCCAGCGUUGACUGUCUUCUUUUAAGUGUCCAUCUCUUCCACAGUGAGUGCACGGUGAUUUAGAUGCUUUUUUUUUUUUGACAUUUUGAACAACCUUGAAUUGUGAUGCUGAUGAUUGAGUUUUACGUUAAUAUCUAAGGCCCUUACCAUUAUUGAAUCCUUGACCAGUUAUGUUAGAAAGUAUUUGUGAGGACGAAGUCCACUAAAGUUAUUUUUUGAGUUCUUCCCAAAGAUGGACCAGGUCCCUUUCGAACUCCUCAUUCUUCAGGAGUACAGACAUAAGAUGCUUCUGGGAAUCUUUAUAUUUUUCUUCAAGAUCAACCUGAAACUUUGAUGUUUCUUUCUUCCCUUUACUCUUAGUAGCAUUUACUUUCUCUGUUGACUAACCAAUCUUAGAUUUUUUCAAUUUUGAGCUUAGCAACUUAUUUCUCAGUUUAAGAUAUAUAAAGAGUCAAAGAUAUCAAUUGAAGCUCCUAAUCUUCUAUCUUUCCUUCUAGAGCGUUAUUUUUCCCUUGAUCACAUGAACUAUUAGCUUUCUUCCAUUGAUUGACUAAGCUUUAAUUUUCUAAUUUACACUUAGUAACCUACUUUGUGACUUUCCAUUUUUUAUUCUAGAGAAAAUUUUUCUCAGUUAGUUUACACAUAGAGUCCAUUAAUAUAUUUGCAAGCCUUUUUAUCUUUCUAGCAGAACAGUUAUCCAAGUUUUCUUUACAUUCAGAAAAGGUUACCUAAUUUUCUUCAUCAACUUCAGUGUUUUCCAUAAAAGCAAAUAAGGAAUAAAAGGUCACUUUCUCAUCCGCUGUUGUAAGCAUGGAAACAUAUGCAGACUUCUCAGCUUCAUCAGAUUCACUGGUGGAGUCACACCAACCAACUAAGUCUUGUUUAACUGCAAAAUCAACUGCAGCCUAUCUUCUUGAUUUCAUAGGGAACUAACCCUAUUCUUUCCUUUGUCACCUUCAACAUUGAGAUACUCCUGAUGGUUCAUUUUGUGCAUUAGACAAUCUUUUAUGAAAUACUCAAGACUAGUACUGUAAUACCCCAUACUUUUUCUAGGUUAAAUUCAUCCCUAAAAUGUCAAGAAUUUGCUUUAAGGAUGAAUACCAUUUAUUUCAUAUAGUAUUUUCAAAAUUUUGACUUUUUAUUGUGUGGAAAAUUUAAUAAGCUUUCCACUAAUACCAAAUUCGCCCAAUACCGACACUCGGCGAAGAACAUAAAGAAUUUUUAGUAAAAUAGUGCGCCACCUAGACUCUCAGUGCAUCGCAGAGAAGGCAAAAUCUAAAAUUAUCAAAUUCCAGUGGCCCUCCACGAUAGCCCCGCAUCUCAUAGAAGCCCAUUUUCCCAAUUGUCCCAUUCUAAUGAGACUCUGUGAUUCUGGUGCAUCAUGCCAAGGGCCAAAAUGGCAUACCAAGGGGCCCCGAGAUUAUUUUCGAUCGCAGAGAAAGCCUUGUUCCUACUCAUCUUUUUCCAGUGAUCUACUGCGAUUGUGGUUCAUCGCGGUGGCCAGCUAAAUCAAGAUUUUUGGUCAUUUUUUGUUCCGUUUGGGAGUUUAAAAAGGGUAUUUUGUUCAAUUUCCAAGGCCCCAAUCUAUUUAAAGAGGGUAUUUUGGUCAAUUCCCAUGGCCCCAAUCUAUCUUAAACAUAAGAUUAAUCAUAUUUCAAAGAAUUCUUGCUCACUAUUCACCAUUCUCUUCAAAAGAAAAAUCUUAGAAACCAAAAGCCCCUUCUCCAAAAAAUCUAAUUCCACCACAGAUUCUCCAAGAAAGCUUUAGAUUAAAGAUUCCUAAGACAAGAUAGUCAAUAACUUAUCUUCAAAACCUCAAUUAAAAAUCAAUAUAUCAAGAUUCUUCAUCCAGUCUUAAAUCAAGGUAUGUGGGGUUUGAACCUUGACCAUGAUAAUUCUUUCAUCUUUGUGCCCAAAAAUUUAUUUUAAUUAAAAAUUUACAGCAAUUUAUGAGAAUUCUGAUAAAAUAAAAGCUAGGGUUUAUGCCCAUUAUCAUUAUUUGCUAGAUUAUGAGAUUUCCCAUGAUUUAGAAGUUGAAUUACAUGACUUUAUUCAUAUUUAUAUGCAUUCUGCAAUAAUUUCCAGAUUUUAUGAUGAAUUAUGAGUGUUUAUAUCAUCAAGUAUGAAUUUUAAGAUGUUUUAACAUAAAGAAUGAUACAUGGGUCAUUAAGCCCUAAUUUAGGAUUGUUAUUCAAGAUUAUUAAUUUAAUGAGCACCCUCAAAUAAGAUUAUUCACAGAUUUUGAUAAAGAUUUGACCUUUUGGUCCUAAGCUAAGAUAUAGAAUCCACUGUGUUCAGAUAACUUGAGAUUUAAAGAAAAAAAGCACAAUUGGUUUUAUUGUAAACCAUUGUGCUAUUUUUGAAGUGUAUUUCUUACGAUUUUGAGCAUAAGAAUGGGAGUAGUAUUUAGCACCGAGAUUGGUGAGUUACUACAGUUUUAUACCCCAAAACUACAUGCCACCAUAGGUAUAGAUUAUUAGAUUAUUCCUACUUCUACAUGGAUGACUCAAAUUAUGAUCACUCAAAUUAAAAUUUCUAUUCUGAUGGCAAGGGUAGGACAUCCCUACCUAAUGGGGGCCAGUCUUAGGACUCCAUGGAUGCUCACAUGGUGUAUGUCGGUUUGAAAAACCUCUCAAAAGAUGUCCCCCACUCUUCAAUAGUCUAUUGAUUUAAAGAUUUAAGAUAAUAGCUUAUGUUUUGGAAGUUAUGGUUUUAAGAAUUUAAGCCCUAAGAUAAGGUAUUUUCCAGAUUUUAGAAAACUAAGUGUAAAGGCUCACAAGUUUUGCUCAGAUUAUUCUUUACAGAAAGAUAAGAUUUACAGAUUUAAAUUUUUAGAUUUCAGACUUAGAAGUGAGUCCUUUCUAUACUUAGACAGUAAGAUUUAAAGACAGAGUAUUAGCACAGCUUAUAGAACUAAAUGUUAUGGCUCACUAGAUUUACAAAUAUGAUUUGUUUCUCAUGAUUAUUCUUUUCAAUAUUUCAGAUAUUUCGUCUUACGUGAGUAUUUACAUUUAGCAUGCAUUGUUUGACAAAUUAUGAUGAUAAUAUGAUGUUUUACUUAUGCAUUUUACCUCUAUAUUCUCAUUACAUCUUCAAAGUACUGAUCCACAUAUAUGUCUAUGUGCUACAUUGUCUCAUAAUGUAGGUAUUAGUUCAGUUGUAGCACGCAUACCAUAUUCAAACAGCAUGAAGAUUCCAGCCAGCAGAUUAUGAGCCCUCCUAUUUCGGGGACUUAAGUUAGAUGUUAUUUAUGUAUUUUAUUCUCUCAUGUAUUGAUUAGUGAUAGUUGGAAUUACAUUCUAGCUAUCUAUAGUCAGUAUAGUAGAGGCUUCACAGAUGUCAGUUAGAGUCAGUUAUUUAUUUUUAGUCCCUCUUUCAUACUUUAUCAGAAUGUAAAAGUUAUAUCAGCAUUGUUUUUUUCUCAGAUUCCACCAUUGUUAUUUUCCGCACAAUAAACUCAGUUGUUUUUACAUAUCAUUCAGUUGCUUAUGAGUUAUGCCAAGAGAAGGGUUAGCUUGGGAUCACCUGUGGUCCUAAGCACUGUGUGACGUCUCGGGGUAGAUUUUUGGGGCGUUACAAGCAUACUUGUGACACACCUCCACAGUGACACAUUUGUUGCUGCUACUUCCACUUCUUUGGAAUUGGCCACUCCUCUUCAUUUCUCUAACUAUUAUUUUUGCAAAAUAGGUAACAUAAGUGUCAUAUUCAUUAGAGUCUUAUUUAAAUGCUUUUUAUGCCAGACAUUUUUCCUUUUUUACCUCCAUCUUCUCAAGCCCUUGCUACUUUUUAUAUUCAUGAGUCUUCAAAUUCCAAAUAAGCUCAUCUAGAGUGAAAGAUCUUUAUGUUUAUUUCUUUAUUUAUGGCACUACCUUGCUUUCCCAGUACUUAUAAAGAACACCAAGAAAUUUUCUCACUUGUAUAAAGGAAUCUCUUCACCUAAGCAGUGAAGCUCAUUUGUGAUAAAAGUGAAACUUGUAUGCAUUUCUUAGAUUGUUUAUCCUUUUAUCAUGGUGAAGGUUUCAUCCUAAGUAGUCAGCAUGUCCACUUUUGAAUCCUUCACAUAAGUGGUACCUUUAUGAGUAUCCCUUAAGAAAUCUUAGAUCUCUUUUGUAUUUUAACAAGUUAAGAUCCCAUUGUAUUCAUCAGGACCUUUCCACAUACUAACAAUUUCUUGGCCUUGUAAUUUUUUUCAAUCUUUUUCCUGUCUUCAUCAUUGUACUCUCUCCUUCUUUUGAUAACCAUUCUAGUAACAUCUCCUUCUUUGACUUCUCCUACAGGUACAUGAGGACAAUCAAGAAUAAUGUCCAUUAGCUCACUAUCUUCACCCAUAAUGAAAUCAAACAUCCUUGUUUUCCACCACCCAUAGUACUAUUCAUUAAAUAUAGGUGGUCUAAUGGUUGAUUUCCCUUAUUCUAGAUUAGGUGGAGCAGCUAUUCUAUCCUGUACACUCUAGGUGUUAACCUUUUAGAGUGAACCUACUUUGAUACCAACUGUAGAAACCCUGAGGGUUACACCACACAGUGAGGGACCAGGUCCCUCAAAGUCAAUCAUAACGAAUCAAAUAAUAGAUUACAGGAAAAUUAAGGGUAGUGCAGGAAUGAAACAACACACAAGGUUUAACAUGGAAACCCUCUUGCUCAAGGAAGGAAAAACCAUGGCUUGCCCUCACAAGCACCAACAAAAUCCACUAUAAUCAAUCUCUUGAUUACAUACUCAAUUUCAGCCUAGCUCUAGGCUCUUUUCACUUGUAAUAACUAUACUAUAAGAUCAUCUUGGAAACUUUUCCAAGGACCCUCUACACCAAUUAACUUUAAUCAUCAACAUACUUAGGAAACUCUACCUAAGAAAUCUCAACUCAACAGAGAAAACACUACUCUAAUAGCAUGUGUAGAUCGAUUAUAAAUUAGAACUCAAUAAUAAUCACUCAUUCUUUAAGCAUACUACAAAGAUAUAAACAUGAGCAAUGCUUGAGAAAUCAUUAAAUAGAGUUUUUCUGCCUCUCUUCACUUUUUAGAUUUGUCCAAAAAUUAUUUGUUGAAAAAGCAAAUUUUUCUUUUUAUAGAGAAGUAAUGUUUAGGGCUGAAAUAUGAUUGGACAAGGUGUCCUAUUCAGUACAAGAAGCACCUUCUUAUUUGUUAUACAAGAGGAAAAAAUUAUGCAUACAUGCGUGCUAGCUGUACUGUACCAUAAACAUCUAGGGACUUGGUCCCGUCUUGUUUAUUACAUAAGAGGACCAAAUUGUGCAGACAUGCGUGCUAGCUAUAUUAUACGGUGAACAUCCAGGGACUUGGUCCCUUGCAGUUAGCUGCUAAUCAUCAAAACUAUAUAUAGAAAAGUAUUUUAAGAUUAUUGCUAUGUUUUCUUUUAUGUAUUUAGUGGAUUUUCUUCCAAACAUAAGCGGCUAAACCACCAGACUAGAGUUGUGGGAACCUGAUGGAAUAAUGAAGUAGAGGAAGUGAAAAGUCAUUCUUGAUAAAUACUCUUGCAUGUAUUGUGAUCUUCUUCCGUGUGAUUGUUUUCUUAAUAAAUGUUGAAGUUAAGAACCUACCUAUGUUUGAUACUUACUUGAAAAGAGAGGUAAAGAUUAGGAAAAAAAGAUCAUAAUAGUAAUUUGAAACUGGCAACCCACAUUUAAUUAACUUGACACUCAAAAGGUAAUGGUUGACUUGAGAUUCAGGAUAAGGGUUAGUAAGGAGACACUAUGAGAGUCAAAAGGUAAUGAGUGAAAUUCACCAAGCGCAUUCACAUGAUAGUUGGUAAUACUAUUGUCAAAUUUUGUAUGCAAGGUAUUAUGAUAUAUCAGUGGGGCACAAUAAGUCUACGAAACUAGAAAGUCAAGUGUAACACUGUCCUAGUAUUCAUUACAUAUUGAUUUUGACCAUAUCGAUCAAGAUUUGUUUUUAUUAACAUUAUACUUAUAAAGUCCCCCCAUUUACUUUCCCAUAUUUAUACAGCUACUUCAGCAAGUUCAUGAUAGAUAUUCAGCCUGCCUAUGGGUUUGACCCCAACCUAUUUAAGAUAUAUAUUUGAUAGAGACCAUAUUAUAUUUCUUGGAGGUAUACUUUGGGAUAAAUAAAAUUUUGGCACUGUUCUCGGUGAAUACAAUUACAGAUUAAUUGAUUGGAGCUGUUGAGAUUGUUAGGUAUCAUUAUCUCUACUGUUCUUAGGGCCUAUACCGGUGUAUGCCCAGUACUCAGAGUCAAGGCAAUCCCUUGACCCUACUUGAUACUGAGUUGGAGAAAAUCUUAUGAUAGAAUUAUAAGAUGGAAGAAUACCCAGUACUAAGAGUUAAUAAAAUCCCUCGACCCCACUUGAUACUGAUGUAGAGUGAACCUUAUGAUAGAAUUAUAAGAUAGAAGAGCAGAAUCAUAGAGGUCAUGAUAACCCUACUAAGAUUCCUUCACCUUCGCAUGGUUAUUUAAGAUAUAGCAUCUCAAACCACCGUGCGAUUACUGGCCAAAAAUAAAGGAAAAAGGGAUACUGCUGCCUUUUGUGCAACACAAGAGGAAAAAUUGAGACAUGAAUAACAUCAUUGUGUAGAAAUUGACAGAUCUUGAAGAUAUAGAGUUCAAGUACCCCCAAAUUUUCUAAUAUUAUCAUUAUAUCAUGAUUUGAAGGAAGAUUUGGGGUAUAUUGAGCAUGUUGAAAUAAGAUCUAUCAUCCCUCCAGAGAUGCCUCAGAGGGUAAAUCUUAAUAUUACUAGUGCUAUGAUACAGUAGUUGAAUCUGAAGGGUUUGUUUGUUUGUUUUUUCUGAUGACUCCAACAUGCACAUCAUAGAUUUUGGUAGGAUUUGUGCUUCAUGUAAUUUACCUGAGGUGAGUCAAAAAGCUUUAUGGCUCAGGUUGUUCCCAUUCUCUCUUACAAGAAAAUCCAUAUUAUAGUUAGGAUAAACACCUCGGGGUCCAUCACUAAUUAUAAUGAGUUGUGAAAAUAGUUAUUACACCAAUUAUUUCCACCUUCUAAAAUAAUACAGUAGAAGUAUGAGAUUUAUAAUUUUAGGCAGUUGUAUUUAGAACCAUUAUAUGAGACAUGGUUGAAGUUCAAAAAAAGUUGAUAUUGGUUCUCUAAUACCAACUGAUGAUGGCAUACUUGGGAUGCAGAAAGAGGAUUCGGUACCUAUUUUAUUGGUGCUUCAAGUAAGCAGAGAAUUAUAGAUGACAUAGUAUAUCAAGAGUUUGCUAGUUGAGGAUAGAAAUUGGGUAUGACUAAGAAAUUCGCAACUAUAAAUUUGGAACAAGUUAAUGUCAUAGGCGCAUAAGGUAAAUCCUCUAGGUUUUAUGAUUUUGAUAUUGAAAGAGAAGCAAAGUACCUAAAUUAAAAGAUGGCAGGUUCUCAAUCUAAGAGCAAGGGUCCAAUCAAGACUCUUGGAACUCUAGGAAAGGGAAUCAAGGUUAGAAAUACUAUGGAGAAAGAUAUAGGGAUCAAAGUAGAGAGAGAUAGUUGAUAGAGGUGAAAGGAUAAAUAUAAGGAGAAGGUUUGUGCAUACGUUCCAUCGGGGAACCAUGUUACUAAUUUAAGCAUGGAUGAAUUUCUUACCAAGAUGGUUAAGGUUCAGAGAACCAACAGAGUUUCCUUAAGGAGAUUUAGGUAGAUAUUUCAGGACUAAGCUAGAAAGUAGAAUCGUAUACUACUGUGUUUAAGCAGCUUGAGAACCAAUUUAGUCAAAUGUUAACCACUUUGAAUCAACAUAAAUUGGGAACUCUUCGAAGCAACACUGUGCAGAAUCUAAAUAAUGACAGUUACUACUUAUCCAUCACCACUCAGAGUGGUAAGGCAACUAUUGAUCCCUCCAUAUUUGUAUUUAAUGAGGUUUGGGAUAGUGUAGUGGAUAUUGAUGAUUCACCUAAAAAGGAAUCUAAAAUGUUAGUGACUAGUGGUGAAUUAUGACAAAAAUUAACGGUCAUGGAUAAAUAAGUUAAGAAGGAUAAAGGUAAGGUUAAGUAAGUCAGGCCUAUAGUGAAUACCAAUCCAAGAACUCCCCCACCUUUUCCUUGAAGAUUGAACAAAAACCAAGAGGAAGGGAAUUAUCAGAAGUUCCUAUUGAGGAUGAAUGAAUUGUCUAUUAAUAUUUCUCUUAUGGAAGCAUUAGAGCAGAUUCCUAGCUAUGCAAAGUUCAUGAAAGAUUUGGUUACUAAUAAGCAAACGGUAUAUUUUUGAGCCAAUUGAUAAUAUGCACUAUUGUAGUUUUAUUGCUUCUCAUACUUUGGUAGUAAAGAAAUAGGACCCCAGAACUUUUACUAUUCCUUGUACUAUUGGGUCUUUGAAUUACGCAUGAGCAUUUAUGACUUGGGAGAUAGCACAAAUCUAAUGUUGCUAGUAUUUUACAAGCAGUUGUGGUUGGGUAUACCUAAGCCAACAUCGAUGAGAUAAUUGAUGGUUGACUGGACUGUUAAUUAACUAGUUGGUCUAUUAAGUGAUGUUUUAGCAAAGGUUCCUUUAUAUUCCCAGCUGGUUUUGUGAUCCUUGACUCUGAGGGGGAUUUCAGUGUUCCUAUUAUUUUAGGAAUACCCUUCUUAUCCACAGGAAGGGCAUUGGUUAAUAUGGAGAUGGGACACAUAAAAUUCCAAAUCAACAAGGAAUAUAUUCCUUUUUAUGUGGGGUAAGCAAUUCAAUAACCAAAAGAUAUGGGGGUGGUGUUUGCAAUUUAUGUUGCACCUAUCAAGGCAUUAAUGUUAGUAUUGUAGAGAUUUAAAAAGGUUAUCGGAUGGAAUACUGUACAUAUUAUGGGGAUUCCACUUGGGAUUUAUACUUACAAAAUUUAUAUUGAAUUAGAUUAUGUUCUCAAAAUCGAGCACCAAUUCCAUUUGAACCCACUUAUACAAGAGGUGGUGAAGAAAGAGAUUAUAAAGUUGUUAGAUAUAGGUAUGGUUUAUCCUAUUGCUGACAGCAAAUGGGAACCAGUUUAAUGCAUACCUAAAAAGGGUUGGAUCAUUUUGGUCCCAAAUGAGAAAAAUGAGUUAGCUCCCAUGAGACCAGUUAUAGGAUAGAGAGUGUGCAUAAAUUAUCAAAAUUUGAACACUUAGACACAAAGGACCAUUUUUCAACUACAUUUAUGGAUUAAAUACUAGACAGGGUUGUAGACAAAGGUUGGUAAUAUUCUAUUGAUGGAUAUUUGGGGUAUAAUCAUAUUUAAAUUUACACCUAAAAUGUAAUACCCCGGGAAAUUUUUCAUUGAAAUUUUGUGCGUAAACGUGUUGGGUUCUAUCUUCUAGAAUGAAUUAUAAAUUUUAUGUGUGGAAUGUCUUAGAUUAUUACCCACCAUUACAUAGAGUAACGAAUAAGCUUUCCAACGAUAUGUGGAUCAUCCAAAAUGGACACCCGAGCGACGUUUUAUGAACAUUCCGAUCGAACUGUGAAUAGUAGUAAACAGUAAAACGUGCAGGAAAAAGUACUGAGGCCUGGCGUAUUUUUGCUCCAACUUUAAAUGAUCAUAACUCCUUGUACAUAAUGAUCUGGGUGAUCUACUAUAUAUCAAUAGAAAUCUCUGCGAGUCCUCUUUCCAAUGAAAUUAGUUUCAUCCAAUUUUCCUAUUGAAACAAAAAGUUAUGGUCGAUCUACUUCAGCCUAUCAAAAGAAAAUUUUUGGGUCAACUUCAAAUGAUCAUAAAUCCUCAUACAUAAUGAUCUGGAUGAGAUACUAUAUAUCAAUGGAAAUAUAUGAGAUUCCUCUUUCCAAUGAAAUUGGUUUCAUCCAAUUUGGAUAUCGGGGUAAAAAAUUAUGGUUGAUCUACUUCAAACUAUCAAAACAGUCCACCAAAGGACAAAUUUGAGAAUUAUUUGAUUUUUAGGGGCAUUUUGGUCAUUCCCCCUCACCCAAAAUCCAUUCAAACCCUAUAUUAAAGACUAUUAGAAGCAUUAUAUGUUAUAUUUCAUCAAAUUCCCUCAAAAAGAAAACCCUAAGCUCCUACAUCCAACUUCAAGAACCUCCAAAGUUCACCAUUAAUUCUGCAAAUUUAUUCAAGAUUCCAAGUUCCUAGUUCAAGAACUCCAAGAACCAUCAUUCAAAGGCACGAUUAACAUCUCAAAAAUGAGUAUCGAUCUAAAGUUCAUCAUUCAAGGUAUGUGGGGUUUUUCAACAAGAACUCUCUUUCGUUCUUGUGCCCAAAAGUAAUUUUCUUUACAAAGGCAUGAUUUUUAUUUGAUUUUUACGAAUUUGAAGCAUGAACCCAUAUCUUAUGAUGAUUAUUAUGAAAUCUUGAUGUUUAUGAUUUUGAAAGAUGAAUUUACAUCUGUGGCGAUAUAACACAUGAAUCUUGAACCAUAUUUAUUAUGAUUUUGAUAUUUGGGUCGUGAAUCCCCAUUGGAAAUUGUGUUUUUUAAGAAAGUUUGUGUUAUAAGCAUGUUGAUGUUGAAUAUUUGAGAUAUUCUGAAUGAUUUGACCUUUUGGUCUUAAUGGAGUUGUUUUAAACUCAAGUGAGAAAGAAAUCCACAAUGUGGUUGAUUUUGAUAGAUGGGAAGCAUGAUGGCUCCCGAUGUAUAUUUAUAUUUUACUAAAAUUAUUUUGUUAUGUAUUGUCUUUGAAAUGAUCUGAGCUAAGUCCAGUAGAAAUCUUUAGCACCGAGUGGGAGGUAUAAAGCAACCUUACUUCCCUAGAACUAUGUGCCCCCGUAGGAGUGAGCCUGAGGCUAAUUUAUAUAGUGAUCACUAGUUUGUGUGGAUUUGAUAUCGAAGUCCUACUCCGAUGGCAAGGAUAGGACGGCGCUCUCCCCAACGUGGAUUGUACUUUGGAAUCCAUGUAGCUCACAUGGUUUAUGUCAAUUAUAGGAUCUCUAAGUGUGUGUGUUUUUCCUUGUGUCUAUGGUGAAUGGUGAUGUGACUUGAAACUGGAAUUGUGAAAGUUAUUCUUUCAAAAGACUUAAAUGAUAUUUACAUUAUGAGAAUUGAUAUUAUUGAUGAACUGAAAGUGAUUGACAAAUUAUAUGAUGACUCAUAUGUGUUAUUGUACUUAUUUUAUCCUCUCAUGAUUAUGAUGAUUUUCUUCGGGCUAUGUGAGUCUUUCAUACAUCCUGCAUAUUUCUUAUAAAUAUUUAUGAUGAUGAUGUUUAUACAACUGUAUACACCCCCAUAUAAUCGGUUCCUUUCCAUGGUACUGACCCACAUCUUCAGAUGUGGACUGCAUUUUCUCAGAAUGUAGGUUCAGGUGCUCAGUUCCAGGUUUGACAAUGAUUUUUUGGGCACGCUGUUCUACAUCUCUAUUAUGGUGAGUCCUCAUGUCUUAAGGACGUGAUGUUUGAUGUUGGUUUCACGGAAUCGUUUACAUUUGAUAUCGGAGUAUGAGUCAGUUGGGGAAUGUCUCAAUGGGUCACUGGUUUUAUUGAUUUUCUUAAAGGCUUGUCAGACUAGUAUAGAUGUUGGGAGUGGACUAAUAAGUCCUAUUUUGUUAUCUUUUUAAAAUUCUUUUAUUCUUUGAGGAUGAUUACACUAUUGAUAUUUGAGGGUUAUUUAUGGAAACCCCGUUGAUUUGUUUUGUACUGAAUAAAAAUGGCUCAAAGGGUUACUUAGGGCUACUCGUAGCCUCAAGCACCGUGUGAUGCUCCGGGACCCAUUUUUCGGUGCUUUACAAACUUGGUAUCAGAGCCUAAGGUUUUAAGGUAUUUUAAGGAGUCUGACAAGCCGCGUUAAGUAGUCUUGAUCAUCGGUGUGUAGCGCACCAUAUCUAUGAGCAAGAGGCUACAAGACGUUUUAGGAAAAAGUAUGAUUCUUUCUUUCAGAAGUCUAUUGUGCUUAAAAUGUCUCUCUCUACUACUGAUUUGUGCUCUUCUCUUUUAGAAAUAUGCCUCCACAUCGAGCGAGAAGAAAUUAUGAUGGUCAGCAACCUCAACCCACUGACCCAUUGAAUAAAAAUGUGUCUCAUGCUGAAUUUCGGGCAGCCUUGCAGGCGCUGGCUCAAGCUAUUAUUGUAAAUUUUCAGGCCAACCCAGCCCCGGCUCCACAGCAGUAGGGAGGUGAUUCAGCUACUUCCAGGAUCCGUGACUUCAUGCAGAUGAAUCCACCAGAAUUCUAUGAGUCUAAGUCUGAUAAGGAUCCAUGGUUAUUUUUAGAGGACGUGCAGAAGAUUACUCAGGUGAUGCAUGUAUCUGAGGAACAUAGUGUGGAGUUGGCUGUGUAUAGGUUGAAAGAUUGCUUAUGACUAGGUUGUUUCUUGGAGGAAAGGUGGAGGUGAGGGAGCUAGCCCUACAACUUGGCAAGAGUUCCAAGAUACGAUCCUGGAUAAUUUUUUCCCUUUGGAGAUGAGGGAGGCGAAGGUGGAAGAGUUUAUGAACCUGCGACAGGGAUCUAUGACUGUUAAGGAGUACUGUCUAAAGUUCAAUCAGUUGUCCAAGUAUGCUCCUGACUUAGUGGCUGAUAAUCGGGCUAGUAUGAGUAAGUUUGUGACUAGAGUAUCUAGUUAUGUGGUUAAGGAGUGUAGGUCUGCUAUGCUUAAUAGUGAUAUGAAUCUUUCUAGGUUGAUGACUCAUGCCCAACAAAUUGAGGCAGACAAGAUUAAGGAGAGGGAUAGAAUGAAAAGGAAUAAAAGAGCUAGGUCCGAGCAGCACGGAAAGGGUCAGACUAGAUCGUAGGGAGGGAGUCACUCUCAGCAUCAAGAUCAUUCAUCUAUGCCAGCACCGUCAUCUUCUAGUGCUCCCGUGCCUAGAGGUAGGCAGGAGCAAGGUAGCAAGUCACAUGUAUCCAGGUCCCAGUACAAUGCUGGGAGUAAGCCAAAUCAUCCCAUAUGUCCUAAGUGUGGUAGGGAUUAUUCAAGUGAGUGUUGGGGUAAGAAGAGGGGUUGUUUUUGGUGUGGUGACAUGGGUCACAGAGUUAGAGAUUGUCCACAAGAUGGACUAGGGCGUCGUGACUAUCGCCCUCAGACCUAGACUCAGACUGUUAGUGCUCAAGUUUCAGCGACUCACCUAACCCCAGCUCAGGGCACCUCUUCUAGCAAUGCUGGUGGGUAGCGCUAGAAUAGAUUCUAUGCUUUAAUGUCCUGCCAAGAAUAGGAGGACUCUCCUGAUGUUGUUACUGGUAUACUUCGUAUAUUUCAGUUUGAUAUGUAUGCUUUGUUGGAUCCUGGAUCCAGUUUCUCAUAUGUUACAGCUUCGAUUAUUGUGAAUUUUGAAAUGAGUCCUGAACCUAUCCUAGUUUCUACCCCAGUAGGUGAUUCGAUUGUUGCCCUGAAAGUGUAUAAGAAGUGCCCUGUUACCAUUCUUCAUAGAGUCUUGUUGGCUGAUCUGAUUGAGUUAGACAUGGUAGAUUUUGAUGUAAUUCUGGGCAUGGACUAGAUGUAUUCUUCUUAUGCCUCUAUUGAUUGUCGAACCCGAGUGGUCAAGUUUCAGUUUUCGGGUGCAUCCAUGUUUGAGUGGUCUGGAAUUCUGUGUCACCCAAAAGUCAUUUUAUCUUUUACCUCAAAGCUAGAAAGCUUUUUUCCAAGGGGUGUACUUACCAUUUGGUUAGAGUCAAAGACACUAAGUCUUAAACUCCAACUCUCCAGUCUGUUAACGUCGUCAAUUAGUUUUCUGAUUUCUUUCCAGAUGAUCUCCCAGGGAUACCUCCUGAUAGAGAGAUAGAGUUCAGGAUUGAUUUUAUUCCCGAUACUUAGCCCAUUUUUAUUUCUCCUUAUCGUAUGGCCCCUGCAGAACUUAAGGAGUUGAAAGAGCAACUCAAAGAUCUACUAGAUAAGGGUUUCAUAAGGCCUAGUGUUUCUCCUUGGGGUGCUCCUAUGUUGUUUGUGAGAAAUAAAGAUGGCUCUUUGCGUAUGUGCAUUGAUUACCACCAAUUGAAUAAAGUCAUCGUCAAAACUAAGUACCCCCUUCUGAGAAUAGAUGCUUUGUUUGACCAAUUGCAAGGUGCAAGUUAUUUCUCAAAGAUAGACCUUUGUUCCGACUAUUAUCAACUCAAAGUUAGGGAGUGUGACAUCCCAAAAACCGCUUUCUGAACUCGUUAUGGCCAUUUUGAGUUUCUUGUUAGGUCUUUUGGGUUAACUAAUGUCCCAGCAGCUUUCAUCGACCUCAUAAAUCGAGUGUUCAAACCAUAUCUGGGUAUGUUUGUCAUAGUGUUCAUCGAUGAUAUACUGGUGUACUCCGGUAGUGAGGAUGAACAUUCUGAUUAUCUUCGAACUAUCUUGCAAACCCUUAGAGAUCACAAGUUGUUUGCCAAGUUCAGUAAGUGUGAGUUUUGGCUAAGGUCAGUUGCUUUUCUGGGUCAUAUCAUUUCUUUUGAAGGUAUUAAAGUUGAUCCCCAAAAGAUCGAAGCUGUUAGAAAUUGGCCUAGAUCUAUUUCUCCGACUGAUAUCAAAAGUUUCUUGGGUUUAGCUAGCUAUUACCACCAUUUUGUUGAGGGUUUCUCCUCUAUAGCGUAUCCAUUGAAUCGGUUGACCCAAAAGAAAUUGAAUUUCUUGUGGUCCAAAUCUUGUGAGAAGAGUUUUCAGGAGUUGAAGACUCAACUCACUUCAGCCCCUGUUUUGACUUUGCCUGAUGGUGUUGAUGGUUUUAUGGUGUACUAUGAUGCUUCGAGAGUUGGGUUGGGUGCGUAUUGAUGCAAAAGGGUAAGGUGAUAGCUUAUGCUUUUUGAUAGUUGAAACCCCAUGAGAAAAAUUACCCCACCCAUGACCUUGAGUUGGCUGCUGUUGUGUUUGCUUUGAAAAUCUGGAGACACUAUUUGUAUGGUGUCUAUGUUGAUUUUUCACUGAUCAUAAGAGUUUGCGGUAUGUGUUUACCUAGAGAGAAUUGAAUCUUAGGUAGAGACGAUGGUUAGAAUAGUUAAAGGACUAUAAUAUAAGUGUGCUCUACGAUCCGGGCAAAGCCAAUGUUGUGGCGGAUACCUUAAGUAAAGUGUCCACGGGUAGUGUUUUGCAUGUGGUAAAAGGUAAGAAAAAGUUGGCUCGUGAUGUACAUCGUUUGGCUAGAUUGGGGGUUUGGUAUUUUGACUCUGCUAAAGGUAGUAUACGGGUUCAGAGUAGUUCCGAAUCCUCCUUGGUUUUGGAAGUGAAGGAAAAGCAAUACUUAGAUGCUAGUUUGGUCAGACUGAAGGAGUCAGUCAAGGACCAAAAAGUAGAGGUUUUCUCCUAAGGAAGAGAUGGUAUGUUGAGAUUACAGGGUAGAUUAUGUGUCCCGAAUGUUGAUAAUCAGAGACAGAGGAUUAUGGUGAAAGCACAUGGGGCGCGAUAUUCUAUUCAUCCUGGUGCCACCAAGAUGUACCGAGACUUGCGGGAAAUCUCUUGGUGGAGUGGCAUGAAGAAAGAUAUAGCAGCGUUUGUAGCUAAGGGUGUAACAUGCCAACAGGUUAAGGUUGAACACCAAAGACCUAGUUGUAUGAUGCAAGAGUUAGUAUUCCCACCUGGAAGUGGGAAGAGAUAAAUAUGGACUUCGUGAUUGGUUUACCUCCUUCCCGACGCCAUCAUGAUUCCAUUUGGGUUGUGGUUGAUAGGUUGUGGGUGCACAAGGUAAAUCCCCUGGGUUGUAAGAUUCUAAUAUUGAGGAGGAAGCAAAGUACAAGGAUUAAGAGAUAGCAGGUUUUUUAGUAAAGAGAAAAGGGUCCAAUCAGGACCCUUGGAAGUUAAGGCAAGGGAAUUAAGGUCUAAAUUGUUAUGGGAUCAAAUAUAGUGAUAUAAUAAAAAAAAGUGAUAGUGACUAAAGGCAAAAGGAUAUAAAUAAGGAGAAAGGUGGUGUAUAUGUCCCACUAAGGAAUCGUGAUACUAAUUUAAGGAUGGACGCAUUGCUUACCAAGCUGGGUAGAAUUGCAUGCCACCGCGAUUUAUCAGCUUGAGCAGCAGUUUGGUCAAAUGUCGACUAGUUUGAAUCAGCAUUGAUCAGGCACUCUUUUGAGAUAAACUAUGCAGAAUCUAUAGAACUAUAGUCACUACUUAGCCAUCACCACUCAGAGCGGGAAGGCGUCUAUUGAUCCCUCUAUUCCUAUAGUUGAUAAGGUUCAGUAUGGUGUAAUAGAUAUUGAUGUUCCACCCAAAGAAGAAUAUAAAAAUUUAGUGACUAGUGGUGAAUCAUAACAAAUAUUGAUGAGUAAAGAUAAAUGAUUUAAGAAGGAUUAAUGUAAGAGAAAGGAAGUUGAGCCUAUAGUGAAGACCAUUCCACGACCUUUUCCAUAUUUUACUUAUAGAUUGAAGAAGAAGCAAGAGGAAGAAAAGUAUCAGAAGUUUAUGUCAAUGUUGAAUGAACUAUUUGUUAGUGUUUCUCUUAUAGAAGCAUUACAAAAUGUGUCAGGCUAUGUCAAGUUCAUGAAAGAUUGUGUUACUAAGAAGCGGAUGGUGAGUUUGAGCUUGCUAAUAAUGUGUACUAUUGUAGUGCUAUUGUUUUUUGGUCUUUGGUUUAGAUGAAAGAGCACCUCAAAACUUUCACUAUUUCUUGCACUAUUAUGUCUCUUAAUUUUGCACUAGCAUUGUGUGAAUUAAUAGCUAGCAAAAAUUUGAUGCCGCUACUGAUUUCUAAGGAGUUGGGGUUGGGGACACCUAAGCCAACAUUAAUGAGAUUAAUGAUGGCUUACCUAACAGUGAAGAAAUUAGUCGGUAUAUUGUGUGAUGUUUUUGUAAAGUUAGCUUCCUUCAUAUUCCAAGCUAACAUUGUGAUCCUUAACUAUGAUGUGGAUUUUGAUGUACCUAUUAUCUUUGUGUAAGGCAUUAGUUGACAUAGAGAUGGGACACAUGAAAUUCAAACUAAACAAUGAACAGGUUACUUUUAAUAUGGUUUAGUCAAUGUAGCAGCUGAAAGAUAUAAGGGUGGUGUCUAUGAUAGAUAUUGUUGAUGAAGCGGAAUUGACUACACCUACUAAGGAGUGACUUAGGGUCGAGGCAUUAGUGUCGGUGAUCAUGAAUUUUGACAAUGAUGGCAUUGAUAAAUAUGAUGAGAUGGUGAGCGCACUCUAUGACAGAGGUGCUUAUUCUUUUUCAUCAAAAAAGCUAGAGCUUAGCUUGAAGAAUAGAGUGACUCCGCCAGCUCGAAUUUUAAUUGAAGAGCCACCAGUCUUGGAAUCAAAGGCCCUCCCUUAUCACUUUCAAUAUGAACUUUUAGGGUUUAACAAUACAUUGUCGAUUAUUAUUGUUGCAUAUUUGAUGCAUACACAAUACGAAGCACUGAUUUCAAUAUUGAAGAGAUUUAAAAGGCCCAUCAAAUGGACUAUUAUAAAUAUUAUAGAGAUUCCACACAAGAUUUGUACUCAUAAAAUUUUGCUUGAAUGGAAUUGUGCUCCCAGUGUCCAUUGUUGUUUGAACCCAUCUAUAUUGGAGGUGGUAAAAAAAAUGAUUAUAAGUGGUUAGAUGCGGGCAUCAUUUAUCCUAUUGCUAAUAGCAAAUAGGUGAGUCAGUUCAUUGCGUACCUAAGAAGGGUGGGAUCAUUAUGGUCACAAACGAGAAGAAUGAGUUAGUGACCAUGAGAUUAGUUACUGGAUGGAGAGUGUGCAUAAAUUAUCAAAAGUUAAACACUUAGACACAAAAGAACCAUUUUCCUAUGUCGUUUAUGGAUCAUAUGCUAAAUAGGCUUGCAGACAGAGGUUGGUUCUAUUAUCUUAAUACUUAUUGAAGGUAUAAUCAGGUUUUUUAUUUCCCCUGAAGACUAAGAGAAAACUACUAUUACAUGCCUAUAUGGUACUUUUCAAUUCAACAGGAUGUCAUUCAAAAUUUUUCAAUGCUUCAUCAAUUUUUUAAUGUUGUCUGAUAUUGAUAUUUUUUAUAUGGUGGAGGACACUAUAGAGGUCUAUAUGGAUGACUUUUAGAAUGUUAGAGAAUCAUUUGAUGAUUGUCUGGCCCGUUUGGCCGAUGCACUUCUGAGAUAUGGGAAGUACAACUUGGUUUUAAAUUCAUAGAAGUGACACUUUAUGGUGAAAAAAGGGAUUGUUUUUGGACAGAAGAUUUUGAAGAGGGGUAUUGAGGUUGACAGGUCAAAGAUAGAUGCGAUUGAAAAAUUACCUCCACCAUUUUUAAUUAAAGGUAUUAAAAUUUUCUUGGGUUAUGUUAGGUUCUAUAAGAGGUUCAUCAAGGACUUCUCAAAAAUAUCUAAUCUAUUGUGCAAGCUUUUAGUGAAGGAGAUAAGGUCGUGUUUGAUGAUGUUUGUCUCAAGGACUUUGAGGUUAAUCUCAGCUUCUAAUAUUAUUGAGCUCGGCUCCUAUUAUUGUGUCUCUAGGUCGGUCCUUGUCUUUUGAGGUGAUGUAGGAUGCAAUUAGUGUGAAUUUAGGAGUUUUCAUAGGCCAAACAUAUGAGAAGAUAUUUUACCCCAUCUGCUAUGCUAGCAAAGAAUUAAACCCCAUGAUGAAAAAUUAUAUAAUUACUAUGCAGGCGUUACUUGCAGUCAUUUUUCUUUUAGGAAAUUCAUGUCUUAUUUGAUAGGACCAAAGUCAUCAUUCAUACUGAUCAUUCAGCAUUGAGGUAUCUAAUGUCGAAGAAAGAUGCUAAGACGAGAUUGAUUCGUUGGGUAUUUUUGUUUUAGGAAUUUUAUUUUGAGGUGAAAGACCAAAACGGCACUGAAAAUUGGGUUGCAGACCACCUAUCCCACUUCAAAGGGGAGGCAAUGCUUAAAUUAAUGGUGGGCUUAAAAUUGAUGAUAUUUUUUCAGAUGAGCGAAUAUUUGAAACAUCUUAAGACUUAAUCCCCUGGUUGGUUAAUUUUGCCAACUAUUUGGCCAAUUAUCUUGUCCUAGAAGACUUUUCUUUAUAGAAGUGCAAAUGAUUCAUGCAUGAGGUAUACAAGUUUUUCUAUGAUGUUCCUUCUCUAUUUUGGGUGUGUGUGGAUGGAGUUAUUCAGAGGUGAAUUCUUAAGGUGGAGAUAACGAGUAUACUUGAGGCUUAUCAUUCAUCACCAAUUGGGGGUCAUCAUGGUGGUACCGAUAUAACCUAUAAAAAUCUAUAGUGUAUGUACUAUUCCCCGAAUAUCUACAAAGAUGUCCAUAAUUAUGCUCGAUCUAUUGAUAAGUGUCAGCCGCAAUGAAAUAUAUCGCGGAAGCAUAAAAUCCACAUGAAACCCAUUUUGGAGUUAAAGUUGUUUGAUGUGUGAGGAAUUGAUUUUAUGGACCUAUUUGUGAGUUCUUAUGGGAUGAAGAAUAUAUUGGUAGUAGUCAACUUUAUCUCUAAAUAGUGGGAGGCAGUUGCACUUCCUACUAAUGAUGGUCGAAGUGUCACUAGAUUCUUAAAGAAGAACAUUUUUUCAUGAAUUGGCACUCUACAUGCUAUUAUUAGUGAUGGUAGGUCCCUCUUCUAUAAUCUUCUUUUUAAGGACCUUCUAAAAAAUGUAGUAUGAAGAACAAGGUAGCAACACCUUACCAUCCGCAGACAAGUGGGCAGGUUGAGGUCUCUAAUUGUAAUAUCAAGUCCAUAUUGGCGAAGACUAUUAAUGUCAACUGGACUGAUUGGUCAUGCAGGCUAGAUUAUGCACUUUGGGCUUAUAGGAUAGCAUUUAAGACCACCAUAAGUGCUUCUCCAAAUCAGAUUGUGUUUGGAAAGUCAUGCCAAUUGCCAAUAGAACUUGAGCACAAAGGACUAUGGGCUUUAAAAAAAGAUAAAUUUUAAGUGGGGUGAUGCAGCAAAUUUGAGGAUGAGUAAGGUAAAUGAGUUGGAUAAAUUUCGGAUCCAAAAGGAUGAGUAUUCGUCUUUGUACAAGGAGAAGAUGAAGUUGUAUCAUGACAAAAAGAUUGAGAAAAGAGUGUUCGAUCCUGACGAUAUGUUCAUGCUAUAUAAUUUGCCACUUUGCUUGCUUCCUAUCAAGUUGUAAUCUAGGUGGAAUGGAUCAUUCAUUGCUGUUAGAGUAUUCUCACAUGGUGUAAUUGAGCUUAAAUGUGAUGGAGAAUCCCCAUUAAAGGUAAAUGGGCAGCGUGUUAAGCACUAUAUGGUAAAUAUGGAGAAAGUGAAAGUAUGUGUUGAUAUAAGACUUAGCAAAGUGUGAGUAACCAAGGCAAUCAAGUCGUACCACAACAUUAAAUCAGGUGCUACAUGGGAGGCAAUCCAUGAGCUUGUUGGUAAAGUAUGAUUUUCUAACAUAGCCACAUUGUGCCACGAUAUUAAAUCAAGCAUUACAUGGGAAGGCAACCCAUACUUUGUACCUAUUACAUUAUACGGUAACUUUUGUGUUCAGUGUGUAGGGGUGAAAAAUACAAGAAUAGACCAGAAAAUAUUCUAGUCCCAGGUCCCAAUGAAAAACCCUACGAUUUGUAGGGAUUACCUACGACUCAUCACCAGACUCGUCAAGAGGAUCCUAAGUGCAAACCUUCAUGUAAAUGGUCUCUAGGGUCUUGACGACUCUAAGAAUGAGUCAAUGUCAAUAACAAUGACUCGUUGCCUUGAGCCAGCAUGACUAGAGACCCAAGUAAGGCUAUAACUCUAAAUGGAGAAAGACUAUCACUAGUAGCAACAAGCUACAAUUCGUUCUCAGAGUUCAUCAUCAAGCCCGAUAUUGAAUACCCUAAGAGCUAACCCAACCUGAUUCAGGUGAAACUAAAGAGAGAGGUCAAUUCCAAAUGAUUGCCUUUCAUUUUUAAAAUACCUAAACUCCCUCCAUUCUAAUAACCGUCCUAAAAUACACUUAUUACACCCUUAAUCAUCCUCCCACGCCCUAAAAUCAAGGUUUAAUUACUUCUAAGAUAACAAAUGUUAGAUUCUCAAGAACAACGCUAUGAAAGUUUAACGAAUCAAAGUAAAUCUUUCUCCAUUUUCGAAGUAAGUGCUUUAAUCCUUUGUUUUCCAUUUGAAAUUCAUGUUUAAUAAAUAAAAAAUCUUUUGGAUUCCAUGUUAAUUACAUACCUAGGGUUAAAAUCUUAUCAUGUAGUUGUUGAGAAUCUUUAAAAUAUUAAUAACUUAGAGGAGACCUUGAUGUGGGGGAUGAAUUAAGUCUUAAUAUGGUUAUUGAAUUUAUGAGGGAAAUAUAAGUGCCCCUUGGGAAAUGGGAAUGCAAAAGAACCAUGCUUAACCAUGUAUGUUGCAGUCGCUACGGGCCUCAUAACAACUCAUAAAGUAUCCUAAUAAAUCGUGAAGUGACUCGUAGCCACCAGUAACAUGUGUAGGUAUGGGUGAGAGUUCUCUGGCAAUACUACAACUCAUAUUAAGAGUCGUUGUCUAUCCGUACAACUCAUAUUAAGAGUCGUUGUCUAUCCCUACAACUCAUAGUAACUGGAAAUAAAAAAUAACUGAGACAUUAUUGUUUGGUCAAGCUAUGAGUCACAUAAUGUGUCGUUGUGUGACCCAACGACUAAUUCAGCAGACUCGUAAAGUGGCUAUUGUUGAGUCAUUACAUGUUAUUUCACCCUACGACUAUUAGCAUAACUUAUGGCCUCUAGCAAUGAGUUGUAGCCUGACUCAUAGGGUGCCCAGCCACUGUCACUACUCUUCGUUUUUCUUUGCUUUUCCAUUUCUUUUCCUAGUAUUAACUAACAAACAGUUGCUCCCAUGUAAAAUGGCACCAUAAAAUGACUCAAAGCAAAACACCUAAGAAACAAGCUCAUCCCACAACUUGGCAUCUUAUGGACGAUCCCACUAAUGAUGAUUCCAAUGAUUUUAUAGAGGAAUAUCCAAUUGUGGAACUAGUGGAACUAAGGAGCAGCCUACCUUAGAACACAAAGGUUUCAUAUCCAGGCCAAUCGUUUCCAUAUGCUAGGCCCCAGAUAAAGAGCCCUAAGCAAUCACCCCCACACUCAACUCUUUUGUCUAAAAAGAGAGAAGAGUCAAAAUCAGACCCCAGGGGCGAAAAUGAGCAAAAUGAUGUUGUAUCUAGAGGUGGAUCUAAUUUAGAGUCAAGUUCGUAGAACAAAGAGGGGGAUAGGGAAGGAGAAUUGAGUAAGAGUACACAAGUGGAGAUACCUCCUCCUUCCUCUCCACCUACUCAUUCAUUAAAAACUGAGUCUGCCCCAGUGCUCAUCAUUAACCUGUACCUCGAAAUGCAGGAUUUGUAUGAGCAGGAUAAUUCCAUUAUCCAUAAAACCCAGAGGCCAAAGAGAGGGUUCUACCUUGAGACCAAGAUGAGCCUGAUGAUCAUGUCUAAGAUUCCAAAAUUCAAGACUAAAUUUAAGAAAUACCAUUUUUAGUGGAUGAUGAGGGCCCUAGGUAGAUAGAGCCUGACCCUGGUCUGAAAGUUUUAUGUAGCGUAUCAAAUGGAGUUGAAGAGAAUAUAUUCGUAAGGAAAGCUAUGGAAGGGAGGUAAUCCCUUUCAAUCAAUGUUGAUCAUAGGUGUUCGAGUGAACAUCUUUACUUGGACAAUUUCCAUAUAUUUCAUAAGGAAGAAUUUGGGCUCCCCACAAAAAUCUCAGGGAUUGAUCACCGCAUAGAGGAAAUAUGAAAGGUGAAAACAAAGAAGAUUAGGUUAGAUGACAAGUGUAUGAAUUUUUGUAGGUUGCUAGGAUUAUCAUUACGGUGCAAGAGGAAGUGCCUUAGGUUGUAGUACCUAUUACUCAGAUUAUGAAGGAAAUAUUGAGCUUUGUGCCUAAGGCAUGGUAUACGUUGGUUUAAUUUUGGUUGAGUCCGACUAUGAGGGAUAAUAUACUGAGUCCCGACAGAGUCGCACUAGUUGUCGACAUUAUGAAGGGUUACAAUAUUGAUGUAUCCGAGAUCUUAGCGAGGGAAAUCUAUAACCGUGUUGUGAGCACAAAUAGUAUUUUAGAUUUCCCAGGUUCUUAACUAAAACAUGCCUUGAUGAUUAGAGGCCAUAAAUUCCAGGUGUUGAGCAUUUUUUGACAGUCCAUAAGAUUACAGAUUCGAGCUUGAUUUGGGACCUUGCAAACCUAAUAUCGAAGUCAAAGGUUAGCACUUCAAUUUUCCAGGUCGUAUCUCAGUCUAGAGAGAAGAUGGAUAUUGGUACAUCAGGCUUUGUCGAUCUUAGUGAAGCCCACGCAGAGACAGCCGAAGCUACGCCACAACCCACUACUGAUGUUGCA